AGGAGGACCUAUGUGCCUCAAUUCAAGAGAUGAAGGUCCUUUCCCGCUUGCUUUUAUUUGUAGCUGAUGGAGAGGAAUUUCUUCGAGUUGACGCAUUGUCUUCACCGCCUCCCUACCUUGAUAGACUUAGAUUGGUCGGCAAACUGGAAAAGGUACCACAACGGUUUUGUUCACUCCACUCUCUCGCAUAUUUGAAUCUGCGUGGGUCUAGACUUGAAGAAGAUUUUCUACCUCAUAUUGAAGCAUUGCCCUCUCUACGUUCUCUUUGGCUUGAUAAUACCUCUGUUAAGAAAGAGUUAUGUUUCAACAGAGGCUUUGUGAAGCUUUGGUAUUUGCAGUUUCAGAAUUUCGCAUUAUUAAAUAAGAUAACUAUAGAAAAAGGGACGAUGCCAAAUCUUGAGUUCUUAGACAUUCGUAGUUGCAUGACGUUAGAAACAUUGCCACAGGGUAUUGAGCACCUUAUUAAACUACGAGGAUACAGAUUUGAUAAUGUUUCAGAGAAGUUUAGAGAGUCCAUAAAAGGAGGAGGUGUGGAUCAUCCAAGGAUGCUACUCGUCGACGAGAAAUGUAAGAAACAUAUGUAAGUGUCUUUUAUCCUUUCAUUGACUUUCCUAAACCUAAUGAUUUGGAAUAUUUCCAAAAUUAAUGAUUUGGAUGUAAAGCCUUAUAAAUUGUUUGUUAUUAUAAUAUCGCUUUUGUCUUUUUAUGUAUUUUGCAGAAACAAGUCCACCCUGAUUGAAGAAUUUACCCAUGAGUACUCUUUUUACUCUUUUUGAAAAUCAAAUAAUACCAAAGUUGAUGUUCAUAAAAUUUCAUAUGUCGCUUCAACAAUGGGCAGGCGUAUGUCGACGAUUAGCUUUUAAGAUUUGGAUCAUGGAUUCAUUUAUAUUCGGUGUGUUUGUACUUUCUUCUAUGUUAAUUGUGUUUGUAAGAAUACCAUCAAGUAUUAGUAAGAUGAAGAAAUUGCAAACUUUGGCAUAUAUUGAAUCAGAAGGAAACAUUAUUAGAUUUAUUGGAAAUAUGACCCAGCUUACGUUCCUUGGCAUUACAAUGUGAAAGAAAGAGACGAGGAGGACCUAUGUGCAAUGGCAGAUCCACAUAGGGAUAAGAGGGGUCGAUUGACCCCUGCAAACCUAGAAUCUACCAUAGGAGGCCAAGAACUUAACCCUUGAAAAUUCCCUAGAAGGUGUUUGAUGAAAUGCCACAAAGAGGAAGUAGCCGUAGCACACACUGGUAGCAAGAAGCUAGCUGCGCGCCUGUGAAGCGCUCACAGCGUCUUUUUUUUUCCUCUACGUCAAAACGACAUCAUUCCACUUAAGAUUUUUUAUUUUUUAUUUAAAAAAAACCUGGCCAAAAACGACAUCAUUUUGGCUUAGGUGUUUAAAAAAAAAAAUUACAACUUAGGCAGCAACUCUGCUGCCUAAUAAAACCUACGAGUGCAUCUUGGACGCAAAUGUUUCUCUUUCCUCUCUCCUCCCAUACAAGAGCAAGUAUUUGCUCUUAGAUCUAUAGCAAAUUCUCCUCCAUACAUAUGACUUAUUUGAUAUUUCUUCUCCCUAGCCAACCUUGGUAUGAAUUGACUUGAUGCCAACUUAUUUUUCUCUAUUACGUUGAAGAUUCUAGGAUCAACAGUAUACCUCCAAUGUUGACAAUGCCCUUCUAUUAGCCAUCCUAAUCAUAAUAUACAUCCUUAUUCUCUCAAGGCAUGUUAGGAUUGGCUUAUCCCUUGCAUCCAUAAUGACUGCAUUGAAGCUUUCACAUAGGUUAUUUAACAACAAAUCACACUUAUAGUGUGUUGCAAAAUGAGAUCUUGACCAAUUUCUUGCUGGCCUCUCAAUUAGCCACCCCCAAGCAUCUGCAUCCUCCUUCUUCAUAUUAUCCAUCUCUGCUUCCCACCAAGGAAAUGUGGUUGGCCUCGCAGCAGCCCAUAGCAAAUGUUUCAGAGCAAGUCCUGUGUGUUGGCCUUUGAAGUUGUUAUACAAAUGUCUCACGCACAUUCUGUGUUUAGCAUUUGGUAGAGCUGUUUGCAUAGUGGGAAUUAGCCCCUUCUGUUUAUUACUUUUAAAUUCCCAUGCCAAAUCAUUUUAAAUCCCCAAGUCUGCAAUUAAGAGUUAUAGAAACCAUAUCCAACUACUUUUGCUUUCUAUUUCAACUAUAGCAUAGGCCAAUGGGAACAAAGGUAUGUUCCCAUCAAUACCAACUGUAGUUAAGAUCUGCCCUGAGGAGGGUCCUUUUAAGAGGUAGCCAUCAACACCUACAACAGGCCUACACCCUUCUAAGAAACCAUUUUUAGAAGCAGCUAAACAAAUAUAAAUCCGUUCAAACAAUGCAUCAUCACCUGCUAGUUCAGUUUUAAUUACCACAGUACUUCCAAGGUUGAUCUUCUUAAUUUGCUCUACAUAAUCCCUUAAUCUCUCGUAUUGUUCCUUGUACGAACCUUCAAUGACCUUCUUAGCCAAUUUUUUUGCCCUAUACACUUGGUUAUGUAUAACAUUCAUUACAUAUGUUCCCUCACCUCAUCUUGAAGUUGCCCUACAUUCCAAUUGGGAUUUCUUCUCAUCUUAUCACAAAAUCUUUGUAAAAUCCAUGUUGAAGUAGCAUAUCUUAACCUGUCUACUCUGCCACAUGUAUGAUUAGCAUGUAUAGCCUUUACUUUAAAAAUGGAUUCUCUUUAUCAAUCCUAGAUGCAUAAAGAACAAAUGUACAGUUCCUAGAUCCACGACACAGGACCUUCACUCUUCUCUUGCCAUUUUUAUCAAAUUUCAACAACUUGCCGUUUACAAUUGCAUACUCCUUUAUUGCUUCCUUCAAGUGCUCCCGAUUUGCAAAUUGCAUCUCCAAAUGAAAUUAUGGAUUUUUAAGGUCAGUAGCUCUCCUAUAUUGCUUGAACUUUGGUAGGAGAAUCCUCUAUUUUUUGUCACAUGUCGACUGCUAUUCUCAUCAUCUGAGGUGUUCCUAUCAGAAUAUAAAGUAUCAGAAUCUGCCCCAUCAUCUGAUAUCUCUCCUGGCCCUUGUGUUUCACUCUCAACAUUUACUUCUUCAUCACAAGGCAUAUUUAUGUCUACAUUACAACCUUUCUUUGCCUCCUCAUCUUCACUAAAAGCAUUAUCACUAUCCACAAACUCUGAAUCUUCUUCUUCUUCAUCAAUUGCAGCUUCACAAUCUCCAAGAGAAAUAACAUGCUCAUCAGUAUCUAAAGCUUCAUAACCUCCAUCAUUUGGUCUUCAUUAAAUCUCCCAUAGUUGUAUUCUUCACUUUGCAAACUAAGCCAUUCUACAGAUGUUUGAGUCUAUGUCUUAUCACUUAUUUUUUUGUCAGUAUAGUAUAACACUAACACUCUGUUACUUGUUAUGCAGUCAACCAUGUCACAUAUAACACUGUCAUUGUCAAUGAGCUUUACAUUAGUUUCACCUUUACUAUAAUACAUCUGACAAUAUAUUUGCAAACAUAUCUCCUUCUUAGUUAGGUCCACUUUAUAUCCUAACGCUAUACCUAUUUUCCUUAAAUCCAAGAGUGAUAGAUAAUCAUCCACACAGUAUAUUCAACAUCAAUUUUUAAAAUCUCUACUCACCUAAAUAAGGAUAAAUCACACUUCAAUUAAAGCAAGGAUAGUACAUACCAAGUGUGCUAGUGUGUGUAACUAUACAAUCAAUUGACACAAAUCAUACCAGUAGGACCACAAACCCUUAAAUUCAACCAAGGAUAGUAGGACCAAGUAUGCACUCAAUGUCUGACCAAAACACAAGGUAUGCAUUCAAUGUUGACAUAAAGACAAAAGAAAACAGUUUUUUGUUUGCCCAAAAGAGAGACAAUAACAAAACCCUCAAUUGCUACAUAGUUGGAGCAGACACAGACAGAAUUCCAAAACAACAUAAAGCAAUUAACAUAUAAAAAUGUGCUUCCAUUAGCAUCGCAUAUUGUAUAUUAAGGGGGGGGGGGGGGGGGGGGGGGGUCCUAACCACCCGGAUUUCAAACCCCUCAAAAUUUUCAACAACCCCCUUUGGCCCCCCCAAGGGAAAACCCAAACAUUUUGGCCCUAAAGAACCUUAAACCCCAUGGCCCCCAAAAAAANNNNNNNNNNNNNNNNNNNNNNNNNNNNNNNNNNNNNNNNNNNNNNNNNNNNNNNNNNNNNNNNNNNNNNNNNNNNNNNNNNNNNNNNNNNNNNNNNNNNNNNNNNNNNNNNNNNNNNNNNNNNNNNNNNNNNNNNNNNNNNNNNNNNNNNNNNNNNNNNNNNNNNNNNNNNNNNNNNNNNNNNNNNNNNNNNNNNNNNNNNNNNNNNNNNNNNNNNNNNNNNNNNNNNNNNNNNNNNNNNNNNNNGACAAAAUCGACUCAAAUGUAGUCCAAUUCCUAGCUUUUGCUAUAUCUGAAACCUUCAGCAGAAACCCUUUUGUCUGAAAGCUUCAUCUUGUUGACUCUUCAGCUUUUUCUUUUCUUGUUUGGUUCAUACCUCUAGUCAAAGUUCUGAUGUGUCAUAACUCGUAUAAGAGAAUCUAAAAGAGUAAAAGUCUUUUUUGUCACUCAACUACUCCCUACAUGCCCUAAAUUUAACGAAAAAAUUGACAGAAGUAACGGUGGGACUAGCUGUUCAAACAAAACUAAAGUUAAAGGACCAUGGGUACCAUUUUGGAAAUUGAGGUACUCAAAUGCAAAUCGGGUCAAAGGGGUGACUAAUAAUACUAUUAACCCUAUUGGUAUUGAUUACUCUGGCUUCUCCAAUAAUACGUAUAAUUAGUAGUUUAAACAUUUCACUCAAACAAACCCUAACUAUUAUAAUUCAAAACUUUAAAAUAAAGAAAAAUAAAUCAGUUUUCCAAUCUCUGCACUCACAGCCGUCAGCCAAAAGAAACUAAUGGAAACCCAAGAGGGAUUAGCUUAUUGCACAAAUGCAAAGCAACUAAGCCAAACUUCGACAAUAAGAAAAGCCACUCAGAUGCAUAGAUUGUUUUCGAUUUAGCUACUAUCUGUUUGCCCGUUUUGUGUUUACUCCUGUGAUGGAAGGGCAAAAUUCUCUAUCGCCUUGAAAACCAUUGACUGGUCAACAAGCCAACUUUCUUUGGCGUGCGAGUGUGCCACUGCUAGCAAUGAAAAAUCCUAGUAGACUUCUUUGAAACAGAUAACUUGCGCCCCAAGUUACUGAUUUCUAAAUAAGCGAUCGUGAAUUUAGGUGAGGAAUAUCUCCCAAGUAAGUUCUUUUCUUGCCUCAGACUGGUGAGGACUUCACAAUUUAUCUCAGUACAAGAUUGGUAGUUUUGGCCAAAAUAAAUGAUAAUAAAGUGGAUUUUUUAGACAGAACUGCCUGUUACAAAACUAGAAAGGAAAAGAUCAACUCUAGAAAGACAAAAAGAAGGCUAAAAUUCUAUUUCUGCCUGGAUAGAAGCUUCUAAUCCGGGCUGGACUGAGUAUGUCUGUGCUGGACUGAACUGUCAACAACUUCAACUGCUAAGCUUCAGUUGUAAAUCGAUACCAAAGUUUGAGUUUGACAGAGUUUUAAUAUAUUUCAAGCCUUGGAAGGCUUUUCAAACGGGCAGAACUGCAACUUCUUUGGUCUGAACAGGGCAGAAGUGGCUGGACUUGAGAAUUAACUUUGCGCGACGAAAAACAAUUCGUCGCACAAAGUCACUUUGCGCAACAAACUUUUGCGCGACGAGAAUACUUCGUCGCUCAAAGUCUUGCGAAACAAUUCGUCACGCAAAGUGACUUUGCAGGACGAACGUUUGCUCAACGACAAUACAUCGUCGCUCAAAGUGACUUGCACGACGAAACAAUAAACUUCGUUGCACAAAGUCUUUAGCGGCGAAGUGUGUUUCGUCACGCAAAGUCUUUACAAAAAUAAAUAAAAUAAUUUUUUAAAUCUUUGCAUGACGUAAUCUAAACAUUUUGUCGCCUAAACCAAUUUAUUUUUGUCUUUUAUUUUGUAUGCAUAACACUUAAGAAAUUAAACGGUAUAUAUAUUUAUUAAGCAGCUUUAAAUUUAUUAUUUUAGUUCGGAUAGGAUUUUUGUUAUAAAAAUAUAUUAUUGUAGUUCAUAUUGGGCUUUUGUUAGAAAAUAUAUAUUUUAAAUUGAUGAUCGAAUUAGUUCAUUGUAUUCAUAUAGGGUCAAGGAGUGUAGCUAUAAAAAAUCAUCAAAAUUGGAGUUAAAAUAACCGUUAAAUCGUGAUUUUUCAUUUAUAACCGUCAAAAAUUUUGUCCCAUUACUUGAUCUCUGAAUGUUUAUCUUUUUCGAUUUUUGGCGUAUAUGAUCUCAAAGUAUAAACAAACAAGUUUGACUGUUGGAUCGUUGAAACUAGUUUCGUUGAAUGCAUAUGCCAUCAAAACAAUAUAUUAACUAAAAAUCAAGAGUUUAUUUAUACUUUCGUUAAAUAUAACAUAAGAUUUUGUGGUAUCCACUAGUGUAAAUAUUUUAAAUUGAAGAUCUAAUUCAGUCAUUGUAUUCAUAUAGGGUCAAGGAGUGUAGCUGAAAAAAUCAUCAAAAUUGGAGUUAAAAUAUCCGUUAAAUCGUGAUUUUUCAUUUAUAACCGUCGAAAAGUUUUUUCCCAUUACUUGAUCUCUGAAUGUUUAUUUUUUCUGAUUUUUGGCGUAUACAAUCUCGAAGUAUAAACAAACAAGUUUGACGGUUGGAUCAUUGAAACUAGUUUCGUAGGAUGCGUAUACCAUCAAAACAAUAUAUUCACUAACAAUUAAGAGUUUAUUUAUACUUUCAUUAAAUAUAACAUAAGAUUUUGUGGUAUUCACUAGUGAAAAUAUUUUAAAUUGAAGAUCAAAUUCAAUCAUUGUAUUCAUAUAGGGUCAAGGAGUGUAGUUGUAAAAAAUCAUCAAAAUCGGAGUUAAAAUAACCGUUAAAUCGUGAUUUUUCAUUUAUAACCAUCGAAAAAUUUUGUCCCGUUACUAGAUAUCUAAAUGUUUGUUGUUUGUGAUUUUUUGGGGUAUACGAUCUUGAAGUAUAUGAAAACAAGUUUGACGAUUGGAUCGUUGAAUGGUGUGUGUGUGUAUAAUAUAUAUACACAAAACUUUAACAUUUUUUUUAGACUUUUCUCGACCAAUUUUUUUCGUCACGCGAAACUUUGCGCGACCAAUUUUCGAAUAUUUUUCGUCGCACAAAACUUAAAAAAUUUGAGCGGUUACCAAAAAUGAGACGUGGAAAUUUUUUUUUUAGACUUCGUGCAACCAAUAUUUUUGCGCGCAAAACUUUAAAAAUUUGGGAGGGUACAAAAAAUGAGACGUGGGAAAACUGUUAUUUUUUAAUUUUUUUUGGGACUUUGCGCGACCAAUAUUUUUUGUCGAGCAAAACUUUGCACGACCAAUAAUCCAAUAUUUUUCGUCCCUCAAAACUUUGCGCGACCAAUAUAUAUUUUUUGUCGUGCAAAGUGAUACGGUUUUUAAAACCAAAAUAACUCCUUCACUAUUUUCUCAAUGUCUUUCUCUACUCUUACCUCUCCUCUCUCUUUCCCUCUCCCUAAAUCCCACCCUUUCUCUCACACUCACUCCUCUCUCUCUUCUCUAUCUCUCACUCUCUCAUAUCUCUUUUCACUAUCUCUCACUCUCACUCACUCUCUCAUCUCUCUUUUCACUAUCUCUCACUCUCACUCUCACUCACUCACUCAUCUCUCUCUCUCUCUCUCUCUCUCUCUCUCACUCACUUCUCCCUCUCAUUCUCACUCACUCUCAAUCUUGCCAAAAGGUAUAUUCUUUCCAAAUUUAAAAAAAAUUUCAUUAAUAUGUGUUUUUGGAGUUAGUUUUGAGUUUGUGUGGGGUUUGGAGUUGAGUAUAUGGUGAGGAUUGGAGCUUGGGUUGGAUUUGUGGUAUAACAAUUUUAGGGGAGAUUAUGCCAAUUUUUUUAUUUUUUAUUUUUUGGUUAUUUGACCAUAUUUGUUUUUUUUAGGGAAUUGUCAACACUUUGACGGCUAAAGUUGAGAAUUAGGACGCUAUCGAAACAUAUCCUCCGCCACUUCCACCACAAUAGGCUUGUAUUAGUAUUUUAUUAUUGUACUUUGUUAAUUUAUGUGUACAUUUUGAAUAUUAUAUAUUUAUUGGAUAAUUUGAUCACUAUUUUUCAUAUGUAAUUUUAUUUUGAAUAUGUCAAUUUAAAUUAUUAAAAAAAAUCAUACAAUUAAAUUAAAUUCAAAAAGUCAAAAUUCGAAAAAAUUAAUAUUAAAACAAAGAGUCAAAAACCUUGCGCGACAAAAUAUUUCGUCGAGCAAACUAUUAAAUUAGUUUAUUUUAAAACACAAAAAAUAUUUAAUUGCUCAAAUAUUUGCGCAACAUUAUUAUUCAUCGCGCAAAACUUUAAAAAUUUGGGCAGGUAUCAAAAAUGGGGCGAGAGAUUUUAUUUUAUUUUUUUUGCCUUUGCGCGACCAAUAAUUUUCGUCGCGCAAAACUUUGUUCGACUAAUACUUUUUGUCGCGCAAAAUUUUUCGCGACCAAUACUUUUUCAUUUCGCAAAGUUUUGCGCGACAAAUACUUUUUCGUUGCCUGAAAAAUGAGCAUGUUGCCUGCAACACACACAUCCAAAAUCAAACCAGCAGCAUGAUCAAUUCUAAGAUUUAAAACACCAAUACAUUACCAAACUUUAGAGCAACAGGUCACUUGCCUCUAACUUUGCAAGGUCUUAAGGAUCCAAAUUGCAUGCAGUAAGGACAUGAAGGACAAUGGAGGGGUUGGCAGCUAAAAGGAGUUCUCUGGGGAUAAAGGUCCCAAAGCGAUGGCAUUGCCUCCUUUUGAAUGUUGGUACAGGAGUGGCAACAACAAUAGUGGUAAUUAGCUGGUCAGGAAUGUUAUGGUAUUGUAUAGUUGGGGUUCCACUAGUUUUGGCAUCCACUGGCACUACCAAAAUUCGCAGUGGCCAAGCUUUGGAAAGGAGAAGUUCUAAAUUGCUGAAAAUUAUGAAAUAUUGGUACAACACUUGUCACAUUACUCCUCUCCAUUAUCCAACAUUAGCAUCUAAAGUUUUAAAACGAACACAUUCUUGCUAAUUUUAUUCAUGGAUAAUCUAUGCAGGGGUAUCAACCUUGACAAAUAUGUUAUUGAUCAACAAACUUCAAGUCUCAAACCUACAAAUAAAAAAACAUACCUAAAAAAAACUCUUUAUAUAACAGCAACUACAAGAACCAAUAAUGCAACAAUUUAUGUCCAAUCAACAUGUCAUAAGAAAUGGUGUCAAAGCAACAGAACAUAAGGCAUGUACUGGAAUUGAGAUUUCAAAAUCGUUUACAACAAAAGACCAAACAUCUGCAAAAUUAGACACCAGAGAAAUUCACAACCCGACCAUUUUGAUCAUAGUUCAACCAAAGCCAAAACUGUAGAUUUUCAGGCUAUCCAAAUGAAAAGGGGUUAACAAAGAAACACAAAACUUUAAAACAAUUAUAAUAAAAAAAAAAAAAAAAACUUGAGGUAGACAAAAAGAUGGAAAACUUUGAGAAGUAGAAUACUAGUAAUAACAAGAUACCUCUACAAGAAAAAAGAAAAAAGAAAAAAAAGGUACACUGUUAAUACUACGUCAUAGAAGUACACUGUUAAUACUAUGUCAUAGAACCAUCUUCCAAGUAAAAAUCACAUUUUGCAUAUCAUAAACUUCAAGUGCACAACUAUAUAUAGAACAAAAUAUAGAGCAUGCUUUAUUACUGAAAAUAUGUUAAUACUAUAUCAUAGAAGUACACUGUUAAUACUAUGUCAUAGAAAUAAACUCAAUUGCAGAGUAUAAACAGUAUAACAAUUAUUCAUAUACUACUACAAAAAAGCAAAAAGACGACGGUAAAUCACCGUCGUGUAUUUGGUUUUUCAAUGGUCGUGGAAUCCACCGUCAUCUUUUCCCUCAUAAACCACGACGCUAAAUAACCGUCGUUGUUAAACAAUACAACGUCAUCAAAAAAUACAAAACGACGUCUUUGUACUGCAAAAAGAUCUAAAAAAAGCAAUCGAGGAUGAUAAUAGACGACCAAUUCUCUAAAAACACCGUCGUUAAAAAGGGAAAAUAUGACACAUAUUAAGAGAACAAAGCCGCAAGAUAGACAUACAACGACGACAAUAAAAAUACGCCGACGUUAAAUAUAAUUUUCACGACAAUAAAAAAUAUGACGUCUUUAAAUACAUUAGAAGACGACGUUAUUGAUACCUACUACGUCGCACAUAUAAACACAACCGUCGUACAAUUAAUUUUCCACUUCGAUUUUUCGAUAAAAGAUGACGUGAAAAUAGUUGUCAGUGUCAUUAUUUACGACGUAUGUGUUUCUAUAGUAGACGUUGAAAAACUAAACAACGUCAGUUACAAAUAUAUGAGAGUCGUAUUAAAAAAUUUAUACGUCCUAUUUUCAGAAACAAACAACGACCAUAAAUAUUAGACGUUGUUAAAUACAACAACGUCGGAAAACAAUAAAAACAGACGUGUUUAGUCUGCUAAAGUUCUACAACGUCUCUUAUUUACAAAAAACCGUCGUGAAAUAAAUUUUCCACUUCGAUUUUUCUAAAAAAGAUGACGUGGAAAUAGUUGUCAGUGUCAUUAUUUACGACGUAUACAUUUAUAUAGUCGACGUUGUAUUUAUAUGUAUUCAUUACUCACGACGCACUUAAUAAUAUAGACGACGUUGAACGUCUAAACAACGUCGGUUCCAAAUAAAUGAGAGCCGUAUUACAGAACAUAUAGACGGCGUAGAUUAUGAUGGGAGCCGUAUUACAAAUAACGUCGUUUAAUUGUUAUUAGACGGCGGUUAUAAUGAAUUUCCGUCGGAAUUAAUUUCGUUCCUCUUCGUUUAUAAAAGAACUUGCGACGUGGAAAAUGUAUGAUGACGUCGUAUUUUUUAACGUUCAGAUUAUAUAUCUCGUUUUUUAGACGUCGGUAUUAUGGGAUUGGAGUCGUGUUAUUUUGAAUUACAUGGCGGUUCUUUAUCCUUCACCGACGUGAUAUCCUGAAUAAUUGCUUCACAAUAGCGUCGUGGUUCUUCAUUGUUACGUUGCUUUAAGACGUCGGUAAAUAUGCUGAAUAACUGAUUCACAAUAACGUCGUGUUUUAUUUGAACGUAGAAAGUGAAGAAAUCACAUUACAAUAUAUUACAAAAUUAAUGUCAUACACUGCCAAUUACAUAAGCAUCAUUCAAUCCAUAUAUCUUCACACCCAUCUCGAAUAUUUUGACCGCCUAACUCACCUACCAGUUCAUCAAAUGUGUCAACAUUUGGCAUCCCUCUAGUAAAUGGCUCACACUCAAUUAUCACAUCACCUAAUACUUCAUCACCAAUAACAUCAUUAUAUUCUCUACUAGGCAUUGAUAACACUACCGACCAACCACGAUGCAUCGGGUCGUCAACAAAAAAUAUUUGUUUGACUUGAGAAGCCAAAACAAAUUGGUCAUUCCUAUGUCCAAUUUUACUCAAAUCUACAAGGGUAAAUCCAAGUUCGUCGACUACAAGACCAGAACUAUCUAUCCAAUCACACCUAAAGACUGGGAUUGUAAACUUUUGGUAGUCAAGGUCCCAAAUUUCUUGAAUGACACCAUAGAAACCCAUAUUUGAGAGAAUUGGGUUUUUAUCCUUGGCACUAGCAACUUGCAUGGUAUGUGCAAGUAAAUAAACUCCACUAUUUUGAGUUGUCCGCACAUCAUCUUGUGCCUUGAUAUUGAAUUUAAUACCUUUAAUAAGAUAGCUCCUAUAUAAUGGCACUGACAUGUUUGGACCAGCUGCUAGCCACCUUAAAUUUUCUGAUACGCCAUGAUUGUCUUCCUCAACUUCACUUUGAACCUGCAAAUUAAUCAUAUCUUAAUUCAUCCUAACAUAUAAAUAAGAAGAAAAUUAAAAGAGAAAUACGUUAUUCAACAACAUAUACCUUGAAGCGUAGCCAUUGAAUGAAAGUGCUAUUGUGCUUAUCCUGCAGCCACUUUGUUCUCUUUCUAAAUUUUGGAUAAGCAGUCUUGAUGUGGAUCAUAUGUUGCCUACAUGACACGAAAAAUUCAAGCAUUACGGUCCCAAAUAUAUAAGAUAAACAUAAGAAAUAAUUUUAAAUGGAAACUUAAAGAAUAAAACUCAUACGUACUCGAUAUAAGGUAGGACUUCCUCCGUAUUCUCCAAGACAUAUAGAUGUGCUUGAUUCAACAGGUCCUGAUCAACUACGCUCACUGUGCAACCUGAUAAUGGCUUUGAAACUCCCAUCUUUUGGCUUGAAGGCACUCCAACUGUACUAACAUCAGAUAAAUGCUGAGUACAAAACUCUACCGCUUCUUCAGCUAUAUACCGCUCAGCAAUGCAACCUUCGGGACGAGUACGAUUCUGAACAUACCCCUUCAGCACUUUCAUAUAUCUUUCAAACGGAUACAUCCACCUAAAAUAUACUGGCCCACAUAGACGAACUUCUCUGACAAGAUGUACUACUAGAUGAACCAUGAUAUCAAAGAAUGAAGGGGGAAAGUACUUCUCAAGCAAACACAGAGUAACUACUACAUCUUCUUCCAACUUAUCUAGCUUGGAAACAUCAACAGUCUUUGCACAUAUAGCAUUGAAGAAGAAGCACAAACGAGUUAUUGCAUACCUUGCAGGCUUCUCCAAAACAGAACGAAUUGCCACAGGGAGCAAUUGUUGCAUUAAGGUAUGACAAUCAUGUGAUUUAAGGCCAAGAAGUCUUGAAUCUUGUACAGAUACAAGAUUUUUAAUAUUUGAAGAAUAACCUUCAGGGACCUUCAUACCAUAGAAAGAAUUGCAAACCUCUCUCUUCUCUGCUCUUGACAAAUUCCAAGGCCCAGGAGGCAAACGAGUACGUCUUUCUCCAUACUCGGGUUGCAAAUCAGUUUUGACCCCCAUGUUCAAUAAAUCUAAUCGAGCAGCAAUCCCAUCUUUAUUUUUUCCAGGGAUCUCCAGCAAUGUACCAAUGAUACUAUCGCAAACAUUCUUCUCAAUGUGCAUAACAUCUAGGGCAUGCCUCACAGGAAGGUAUUUCCAAUACUCGAGAUCAAAGAAUAUUGAUUUCUUCUUCCAACAAACUCUGUCACCAUUUUCAACCAUAUGCAGCACUUCUUCUCCGGUUAAUGGCUCUGGAGGUAUGCCAUAUUCAGGUUUCCCAUUAAAAGCUGCACGUUGCCUCCUAUAUGGAUGAUUGAUUGGUAACCAUUUUCUAUGCCCAAUGUAACAAAUUUUGUGGCCAUUUUUCAACCUGUGACUAGGUGUAUCAUCGCCGCAUAUUGGACAAGCUUUAUAUCCUUUAACAACACAACCAGAUAAGUUUCCAUAGGCGGGGAAAUCAUUAAUUGUCCACAUUAAUGCAGCUCUGAGUGUAAAGUAUUCUCCAUUAUGUGCAUCAUACACUCCUCUAAUCCCAACCCACAAGGAUUUUAAAUCAUCAAUCAAAGGCUCCAAGUAGACGUCUAUAUCAUUUCCGGGUUGUUUAGGACCGGAAAUCAAUAAGGUUAACAUCAUGAACUUUCGUUUCAUGCACAGCCAUGGAGGGAGAUUAUAUGUAACUAAGAUAACCGGCCAACAACUAUAUCUGCUACUUAGAGAACUGUGGGGAUUGAAUCCAUCAGAUGAAAGAGCCAAUCUCAAGUUUCUCGGCUCAUUACCAAACUCAGGCCAUUUAUCAUCAAGAAGUUUCCAAGACGGGGAAUCCGCCGGAUGAGACAUCUGACCGUCAAUUGAUUUUCUAGCAACAUGCCACCAAGUCAAACUCUUAGCUGUCUCAUGUGAUUGAAACAUCCUUUUAAACCUUGGAAUUGGGGGAAAAUACCACACCACCUUCGCUGGCACACCCUCUUUCAAGAUUGCAUCUUUGCCUUCCUUCCACCUUGAGAUACCACAAGUAGGACAAUUAGUUGAAUCCUCAUACUCCUUCCUAUACAAGAUGCAAUCAUUGGGGCAUGCGUGCAUUUUCUCAUAACUCAGCCCCAAUGCACACAAAGUCUUUUUAGCCUCAUACAUGGAGGUUGGUAUUGUAUUUCCUUCUGGAAGCAAAUCGCCUUGAAGUAUCAAUAAUUCUGUAAAACAGACAUCACUCAUCCCAUGUUUUGCCUUCAAAUUAUACAACUUCACUAAUGCCGAUAACUUCGUGUACUUUCUACAACCAGGGUACACUGGUUGAUCUCCAUCCCCAAUCACAUUGGCAAACUCAUACGGAUCCGAACCAAAAUCACCAAAAUCAUUAUCAUCCAUAUCAAUUUCUUCAGACACAAAACUGUACCUACUAUGGCCAUCAUCUUCUUCAACAUUUCUGCUAGCAUUAGUAGUUGCUUCCCAAGGUUCUCCGUGAAAUGUCCAAUUCUUAUAGCUUUGGUCAAUUCCAUUAAAGUAUAAGUGAUCCCUUAUAAUUCCAACCCCAAACAACUUCAAAUUAACACAUUUAACACAUGGACAACGGAUAUGUGUUGUAGUUAGAAGAUUUUCUACAGCAAAGUUCAAAAAUGCUUCCACCCCAAACUCAUAUGCCUUCGAUCUUCUAUCCGAGUGCAUCCAUGACUUAUCCAUCUCCGACACUAUAACCUAUUAUCUAUAAUAAAGUGAAAAUACAGGCAAUGACCAUCACUAUAGCAGAUUAUACAAUGAUCUAAUCGCAAGUAAUAAACAACAGAGACGACGGGUUUUAAUCAAAAACAGACGUAUUUGGCAUAUAUAGACGACGGAUUUUCAACAGACGUCGUCUAUUAUACGUAAUACAAACGACGGUUUAUGAAAAAACCGUCGUGUAUAAGUAAUACAACGACGGUAGUUUAAAAACACCGUCGUGUAAUCGUCGUCGUACGCCUUAAAAUUCGUCGUGUCUCAGUUUAUUUUCAAGAACACAAAACCCAUUAAGAACACAACAUAUAUAUGAAACCAAGCAAGAAACCAACAUAUACAUGAAACCAAGCAUGAAAACAAUAAAUCCAUUCCCAAUUCAACAUAACAUAGGGUGAUUAAAAGAUACGACAAAAUUAAAUCCAUUCCCAAUUCAACAUAACAGAUAAUGUAAUCCAUGAACCCAUUAAACAGAAAAUCCAUGAACCCAUACCUAUAAGCAUUGGUGCACUUUGCACCUUCUCCAGAGCGGAAAAUGACAAGAUCAAAUAAAGGUGUCCUUUUGCUGGAAAUCAUUUGGAAGUUGGUGAUGUGUCUUUUUGUGUUGAUUUCCAGCAAAAGUACACCUUUAUUUGAUCUUGUCAUGAACCCAUUAAACAGAAAAUCCAUGAACCCAUACCUAUAAGCACAUUAUUAACAGAUCGCAAAGCAUAUACCUAAAACCCUUUAACAAAACAACCUAAUAUCAUUCAAUGAAUUUACAAGGGGAAGAUAGGGUUUGUACUUACAGGUUGGACGAGCUCACAGAUUCGACGAGCCUGGAGAGUGCAACUUUUAAUUAGAGCAGAAGUGAGAGAGCGAAAUGUUAUGUCGCGUGAAAUCUGAAAUUUUAGGUUUCAGGGAUCAAAGUAUAAGAAUAAGAGCCAAAUCUAAAAAAAUUUAGGUCGCGCGAAAAUUUUUAGAGCGCGCGCGUUAUAAAACGUCGAAAGAAAAACCAAGGCGAAAGUUCUACAAGUACCGACGUAAAUUUAAUAUUCCACGACGGAAACUUCAUUUUUCGGAUUAAGAACGUAAGGCCGUUCAUUUUUCGGAUUAAUUUUAAAUUUAUUUUGAAUUUUUUAUAUAACGACGACUGAAAAACCACGUCGGUGUUAAGAAAUUAAAGACGUUGUAAAUUAUAUAAACCGACUUACAUAUUAAAAUAACGUCGUUUAAAGCGUAAACCAUGUCGUAUGUUUUACUGUACGACGUAAAAUAUGUAUUCCACGACCCAACCACCGUCGUUAAAAAUUAAUACACUAAACCCAUAAAAUUAAAUUAUACAAUUUAAAAAAUUAAGUUUAUAAAAGGUUUUAUGGUUUUAAAGCCUAACAUAUACCCUAGACUACCCAAAAAUUAUACUUUAAAAAUAAACCCCAAUAAAUAACAACCCUAAUCUCUAAACCCUAGACUCUAAACCCUAAACCAUAAAACUAGAAGUGAUUUUAUGACUCAUCAAAACAAUUUUGUUUUGGAUGGUCAUUUUAAAUUUUUGUUAUUCAAAAUGAAUUUUUUCAAGGUUUAUGUGGAAGAAAAUAUAUCAAUGACUUCAUAGGAGUUGACUUUUCAAUUUUCUGAUUUAUUUUAUAUUUAUUUUGAAUAUUUUGAUAUAAAAAUAAUAAAAUAUUCUUACCAUACAACAAACCACGUCGGUGUUAAAUAAAUUGUAGACGUUGUAAAUUGUAAUAGACUACUAAGUCGUUAAAAUGACGUCGUUAAAAUGAGAAACCAUGGCGGCUAUUUAACUAUACGACGUAAAAUAUAUAUUUUACGACUUAACCGCAGUCGUUACAUAAACGUCGUCGAUUAUACCCUGAACCCUUAAGAAAUUGAAGAUAUUGUAAACCAUUAACGACUCAAUUGUUCAAAGAACGUCGUCUAACUAUUUUUUUACGUUGUAUUUGUUUAAAACACGCAACAACAAAAUACGACGGUUAUUGACUUUAUUAGGUCGUUGGAAAAGUAUUACACGUCGGUUAAGCAAUUUCUAUGUUUGUUUUUUUUUUUAAUUUAAGAAAACCUCAACAAAUUUUUACAUUACAUAUUAUAGAGAAAAUUGGUACAUUAUACAUAAAUAUCAAGUGUUCAAUAAUUGCCCUGUUUAAUAAUUUGGAAAACAAACUCUGCCCAUUUAUUCCGGACUUCAUCAAUGGCUUCUUGGGGGUAUGAAGCUUCCUGGUUUCCCUUGGCAUACUGCAUAAACAAUGACUAUUAGGGUUUAUAAAUAAAAAGAAAUUCAAUCACAGACGACGAUAUUUUUCAUAACCGACGUAGUAUAUCCAUUCAACGACGUUAAUUUUACACGACCGUCGUUGAUAAUACAAAAAACGACGUGAAAUGUAUGAAGGUAAUUUCUUCUUACCUUAUUCUCAAACCCCAAGGAAGGAUCCAUGAUGAUGUCCCUCAUGAAGCGCAUUACAUAAUACCCGCAUUCGACAUUGCUGGGUUGCUUUGGUGUGCCUGAGAGAGUUUUCCAAAUUACAUUUUUACGUCCUGCUCGGGCUAUGUGGGUAUUAUAUAUUUUUAAAGCACUGUUCACGAUGUUUUUGGCCUCUUCAUCGACCACACGAUUUCCUGGCAGAGGAUCCAGAAAAUAGACGGUUUCUCUCUUUGCUCUUACAAUCAGCAAAAUCCAAUGACGGCUGCACAAAAUUAAUAUAAAAACGACGGUUAUUUACAAAAACGACGUAUUAUAGUAUUUCACACGACGAAGUAAAGUAGCUAACGACGACAUUAUAUAUUUAUCACGACGAUAAAUAAAUACCGACGUGGUUAGUAGUUUCAAACGACUAAAUAAAAUAAAACACCGACGUGGUUAGUUUAUAAGCUGUCAUUUAUUGAAAAUCAUAAAAACAAAAUCCUAAGGAGACUAACCCUGGAUUGUAAGGCAUCAUGAAAAUCUGUUCACCGUCUGUCUUCUGAAGUCGAGCUGCUACCAGUCGUGAUCUUGCAGUUAUUGUGCCAGAGUUGGCACUAACUGUAGCAGGGUCGAUAAAGCCAACCAUACUGCACAUAAAGCCAACCAUACUGCACAUAUUGGCUUUUUUCAAAACAUCGUGUAAGUACCUAAACAAAUAAAAUAAUAUAAACAAGUCAGUAUAAAAAAACGACGUAUUAUAAUAUUUCACACGACGUACUGAAAUAGAUGAGGACGUUAUAAUAUAUUUAUCACGACGGUUGUUAGUUAAGACGACGUGGUUAGUUAGUUAAGACGACGCAAUAUAUAAACCAACGAGUUAUUAUUUUAGAAGUACAAACCUCAUAUAUACAGCCAAUACAGUAGCUCCAAUUUCUUCCAUGCCUGCAAAUUGUGUAAUAUCUUCAGGCAGGAGGAAGGUAUCGCGCUCACCACCAAACACCUCCUUAUCAAUUGUAAAUUGGACUGUCUUAUCCUCAGGCAGGAGUGUCGUUUCCACAAAACGACAAAGGGUUUUUAAAGAAGAUGGCGCCUCCAUUUUUGAAUAAGCACCAACUUCAAUAACCUGUUUAAAGAAAUAAAAAAAAUGACGUGGUAAUUCAAUAAAGACGACGGUUUAAGUAAUAAAACGUCGUCUUAAAAGUAUUUAAACGACGGUGAAAAAACUGUCGUGGUAAUUCAAUAAAGACGACGGUUUUAUGAAUAAAGCGUCGUCUGAAACCAUUUAAACGACGGUGAAAAAACCGUCGUUUAAAUAUUUUAUUACGUCUUAAAAAAAUUCCGCCGUCUAAGUUGUAAACAAACGACGGAUUAAAUAAAAAUAUCGACGUCUGAAAUUUUGAAAAACAAAUAAAAAAGGCAAAGUUAUGUUAACAUACCUUGUCGUCAUGCUUUUCUUCAUCUUCUUUCUCCUUUUCUUCUUCCUUCUCUUCAUCUCUUUUUUCUUCUUCCUUCUCUUCAUAUCUUUUUUCUUCUUCCUUCUCUUCAUCUCUCUUUUCUUCUUCAUUCUCUUCAUCUGGCUGAUGUUUCCCCAUUUUGGCAGUAUCAUCCUCCAAAUGUAGGGAUCUCACAUCACCUCCAGAGCAGCUAGCUUUGUCAGACAUUGGAUUUUUGGGGCUUUGGCUAAUUCUUGCUUUAAGCAUGCUUGGAUCAAAAUUGGGAAUUAAUUGGGAAAGCUGACUCAGGAAAUGCUCCCUCUCAGCCUCUACCAAUUGUUUUGUCCUAGCCUCCAUCCUUAAGGCCUCUUCCCUUGCCUUAGCCUCCAUCUUUUUAGUCUCUUCUUGAAGGAGAACUCUUAAACUGUCCUUCAAACGGUCGUCAAAGCUCACCCUCUGUGGUUUGGGCAAAUUGAAAUAUUGCCUUGGGGAAACACCAGCACCAACUCCCCUCACCCUGCCUGGAUGCUCGGGGCCCAAAGCCAUGGUCAGCACAUCAUUGCUGCCAUCUACUCUGACUUUGCCUUCCGAGACUUGUUUCUGCAAUUCAUCCUAAAAAAAGAUAAACAAAAAAACACACGACGGUUAUUUAUGUACAAACGACGUAUUAUAUAAUUUCACACGACGCAAUAACAUAUAAAACGACGUUAUUAUAACUUAUCACGACGGUAGUUAUACCGACGUGGUUAUUUAUUUAAAACGACGAAAUGAAUAAACAACCGACGUCUUAUGCUAUAAUUAAAGAUAACAGAGUAGUGAUUCCUAUUUAGACCGUUAACGACGUUUUUAAAAAAUUUUCGACGUGGUAAUAUCAUUCACACGACGCGAAAAUGAACCACCGACGUCUUAUGCUGUAAUUACAGAAAACAUAGUAGUGAUUCCUAUUUAGACCUUUAACGACGUUUUUAAAAACUUUUCGACGUGGUAAUAUCAUUCACACGACGAAAAAUAUAACAUACGACGUAAUAAGAAUAAUUCACAGUUUAAUAAAAAUUUAAAACAGAGUGAUAGUAGGCUUACAAUUAAUUUUGCUUUCUCUGCCACCUUUGGAUCAGGGAUGUUACCAUGUUUGUCCUGUCUAGCUCUCUUCCAUAAGGUAGAUCGAUCAAUUUCUACCCCAGGCAUGGUUUCCUCCAAUUGAUCCUCCAAUCCAGCAUAUCCUUUUCGAGACAAUCGAUGAUUGUACUCGAGUUUCUCCCUAAUCUGUGAAUGUUGAGAAUGCACAGACUGAAAAUCUUUGGAUAGCCUUGAAGCUACAAAGGCAUCCCAUUGUGCUUUCUCUAUGAAUUUAUAUGUUUCAGGGGGUUGGCUUAAUUUCUCCCUGUCAUUGGUGUAUGGAAGGAUAUAAUGCCUCGUUAGUGUAGACUUGAAAUCCUUCCAUUUCUUGGAAGCAGAAGCUAAAACAGAGGUCUUGCCCCCUUGGCCUACGACAAAAGCCAUGUCAACUGCUUCCCAAAUCUGCUCCUUUAUAUCCUUUGGGAUUUGGGACCAUUUCUUGUCCACAAGUGGGAUCCUGGAGCGUGCCAAGACACCAAUAUACGACUGCAUCUCAAUAUGUGCUUGGCCAACACCUUUCCCCCUUUUAUUGUACUCAACAAUUGGCCUCAGUUUCUGAAGCUUUCUCUUCACAACACGAGGCAUUGUGCUCAUACCUCGACCAGUCUUUGAAUCAUCUGAGAUUGUUGUCUGGCUGGUUUGUUCUGUCUCAGCAGAUGAUGCAGCAAACUUCAUCUUCUUCGAAGACUUCAUCUCCUUCGAAGACUUAUCUUGAGGAGCUACCAUUCCAAGCUUCUUGGAGCCAGAAUCCUUAGUUUGUUGUUGAGAAACCAUUUUAACAGACAAAACUGCAAGUGAAAAUAUUUCAGGAAAACAUUAAGAACACAAACGACGGUAUUAAAAAAAUACGACGUAUGAUAUGAUUUUAGACGACGCAAUGAAAUAAUCUCAGACGUAAUAAAUGUUUAAAACCAUUAUUUAUAUAACGUCGUGGUAUAUAUGUUCACACGACGUCAAUAGUAAUACACCGUCGUGGUAAACUAUUAUUUAUAUAACGUCGUGGUAUUUAUGUUCAUACGACGUCAAUAGUAAUACACCGUCGUGGUAUUAACAUUCACACGACGUAAAACAAUAAGAUAUUUUGUCGUCUAUAUUAGAUACCAACCCUAGUUUCUUUUUCUUUAUAUUUUAUCAAAUAAGGGAAAAACAAAAACCAUUGUUCAGCGAAAUCAAACCUGCAAUUAAACAAGCAUAUAAAAAAAGACUAUUAUUUUAAAAACAACUUUGUCAAUUUUCAGACGACGCUAGAACAACUGACGAACCGUCGUGGUCUACCGUCGUCUUAUUUAGUUGAUGUAGUUGUCUUCAAAGUUGGAAACUUUCUCUCUUUGUCUGUAUAUUUUAUCAAACUUGGAAAGAAGUAAAAUGAUUUUGGCCAGAAAAAAGGUAAAAAGAUUUUUCAAACAAAAAACGUAUGAGCAUGCAAAACAGUAACCAAAAUAGUGAAAAUGAAAGCUUACCUUUUGCGUGCAAUGAAAGCAAGAGGAAGAUGAUCGAUGUUUAAGUUCAGAGACGACGAAGAAGACGAGAGGAAGACGAUGAGAAACUCUGACAAUGCUCUGACAAGGAAAAAAGACGAAAAGGUUUCUCUGGGAGAUUGAAAUUUUUAAUCGGGUUUGGAAACAGUGCAUGUGUAAGUCGAAAAGUUGCUUACAUAUAAAACCAUUUCAAAAAAAUAAUACGGCGGUUACAUUUAACUACGUCGUUUUUAACUAAAACGACGCAAUAUUUUUCAUUCGACGUGGAAUCAUUUCAUUUAACGUCGUUAGGUUUAAUAUAACCGACGUGGAUUUUAAUUUUUAAAUUAUGAAUAGAAUUUUUUUUCCCGUGACCUUUCAGUUUAUUUUUCAAUUACAGUGCGUUAUAAAUAGAGUUUUUUUUCCGGAGGAAAUUUAAAACGAAGGAAAUUAAUAUUCUGCAAUAUGUAAAGUUUCUUUUUUGGAUGACAGAUUUAAAUAAAAUAAGAAUAUAAAAACAACAAAUGUGUAAGUCAAGUAGACGAAAAGUUGCUUACAUAUAAAACCAUUUCAAAAAAAUAAUAUGGCGGUUACAUAUAACUACGACGUAUAAAUUACAAAAUACGACGGUACAUUUAACUUCGGACGUGGUAAAUAAAUACGACAGUAGUUUGUAGGUACCGUCGUAGUAAACUCAAAAAUUAAAGUACAUAAGUAAUAACUCGCGUCAUGGUAUAUUAUUUAACACGUCGUUUUUAUUAAUUUACCGACGUGGAUUUCUGUAAUAUACGUCGAUCAUACCGACGUUGAUUUUACAAUUUAAACGGCGGUUUUUUUGUAAGGACCGCCGUUGGUUUUAAAAAUUUAUUCUAUAAAUUUGUCGCUUUCAUUCAUUUUCGGUUUACAUUUAAGGUUCCAAGUUCUUCCUCUCUCAGUCUCUCAUGUCUCAAAGAUAAUAAUUUGGAUGUUUUCUCAAAGAGAAAUUGAGCUUACUCGCAUCAAAUAUAUGUCCACAAGAAGAAGCUUGUCAACUAGCCUUCUCACUUCCUUGAUCAAGCCUGAUAGGACACUUAGUGCUUCUGAAUACUCCUUGCUUUCCAUCAAAAGAGAUGCAAGUCUGGCCUCCACUCGCUGUCGAAGGAAAGUUCGCUUCUCAGGGAAAUCUGAAGAUCAGAUGUGCCUGAUCCUCUGCUUGAUUUUCUUGCCUAAGAAGAUCCGUCGGAUUUAUUGUGAUAGCCUCUUCCUUUAUCCGUAGAGCUUCAGAAGAAGAAGAUGGGUUUCAAGAAUGCGAUAAAGAAUAGAAAUGGCUUCAGAUGGCCUCUAAAGCAUGAGCAAUUGAAUCAGUAGUUUCUGGGAGAUAUGAUGAAGACAUUGUCAAUGCUUUGAACUACACAAGUCCUGCAGAAAGAUAUGUUAAAGAAACUGAAACAACGGCGGUUUUCUGUUCUACCGUCGUCUUUUCUCGUCGUCUAUAUUAAGUUACGAUGGCGGUAGAUUUAUAAUUACCGACGUAGAUUAUUUUGUUAAACGUCGUUAAGUGUACUACAACCGACGUGGAUUUUAAUUUUAAAUUAUAAAUGGAGUUUUUUUUCCCGUAUUCUUUCAGUUUUAGUUUUCAAUUCCAAAGCGUGAUAAAUAGAUUUUUCUUUCCCGAGGAAAUUUAAAAUGAGGGAAAUUAAUGUUCUAGAAUUUGUAAACUAACACGACGCAAUAUUUGCAAAUCUGUGUCAUCUGUUAAGAUUAUGAUGUGGAACAGAGUUCCAUCUGGUAAGAUUUCGUAACCCUUGGGAUCUCAGACAAAACUGAUUAUGUCGGCGGUGUUCUAUAUAAACCGUCGUGGUUAUUUCAAUUCUUGUCAUUAAGUAGAUCUACCGACGUAGGAUAAGAAAAUCAAAGAAAAAAAUUGUUAACAAAAAUUCUUAUUAAGACGACCGUUAAAAUUAAAGGUACGACGUAUAAAAUGAAUAAAUACGACGAUAAAUUUUAUUGUACGAUUUAAAGAUAACGUAGUAGAACUAUACGAGAAUGACGUCGAUAUAUUUAUAUUUUCCGUCGUUGUAAAUUAAUUUAAUACGGCGAUAUUUUGUAUUUUAAAGCCGUGGAUUUGUUUGUAAUUAUACGGCGUCUUAUACGAAAACCUCGUCGUCUUAUUUUAUGAGUAAAAACGGCAGUUUUUAUUGAAAUCGUCGUCUUUACUUUCUACGUCGGUCGAUUCAUAACUUCUGCCGUUCUUUGUUGGCAUUGAUUUUACACUGCGGAAAUCUGUUUCAAAUAGACGUCGGUUGUUUAAUUAUGUACGUCGUUGUUUUUGAACAGCCAUUUGAAACUCCAUUUUUUAGUUGUCUAAGGUUGUAUUACACGACGGUGUUUUUAGAACCGUCGUCUUUUUAUAAACCACGACGGUUUUCACUUAGACCGUCGUUGUUUUCUGGUCGUCUUUUUCACUUUUUGUAGUAGUGAUACCACUUACUAGAAGUUAACAACUACAUCAUUUCAUUUACAUAAUAGGUAGGAUAAAAGUGUACAACUCCAUACCAUUCAAAAUCAAUACACAAACAAGAAGAAGAAGUUGCAUUUGAAUCAACAAACAAACCCUAAAUGGAUAAUACUAGAAAAAACCGUGAAUAUGGAGCUCAAACCUGAUUAAACUUUAAAAGCUGAUAAACAACAUCAUCUCUAACCAGUGCCUCUCCAACAAACAAGACAAGAUUUGAAUUGUUAAGAUUGACUAGCUUUGACAGUGCCCUCAUUAACAAUUCAUUAUCAUGAAAGGCAUAAUAUAAUAUAUUUUCACAUUAUAUAUAUAACUAACAGUAGCUUAGCAUGUACACUGAAAAAGGAAUUUUAACUUAUAGGUCUCAACCCUCAUUAAUGGCAAAACCAAGCUAGAUAACUUAUAGGUCUCAACCCACUGAAACAGGAAUUUUAACAAGUAAACAACAUUAUUAUCCUUCUGUAAUAGCAAAAGCAGUGGUAAGAUUGAAACAAAAAUUGCUAACUAACAGUAGCUUAGCAUGUACAUCAUACAAACUGUAAACGUUUGUGCAAAUGCUCAACCAUUCUACUAAAUACUAAAAACACAUUACCAUCAUUACAAAUCAUAUUAGAACUAACACAAAUAAGCAAGCAAGUAAUUUCAGGUUUUUUUUAUAUCAAUUUAUUUAUCGCAAUUUGUAAACAAAAUGCAAAACUAAGGAAAAAAAAACCGUAGACAUAUUCAAAUUAAUCACAAAAUCGCAAAGAAACUGCUCAACAAGCUUCGAAUUUCAGCGAUAAUCAAACCGGAUCAUACCAAUAUGAUUCGGCUGACCUUGAAAUGGUAUCUUCGUUCUUCUUAAGCUCAUCCUUGUGAGCGAUCUCUCAGAUCUGGUGCAGUAUGUGGCCAUGAGCGUUUGGACAAAAUUACGACUCAGAAGUUGUGGGCGUGGAUGAUGUAUCUCCUUCAAAGUGAAAGAAGCGACAAGGAAGAUGACGAACCUAAGUCUUGGAAGAAGAACCGAUAAGAGCAUUGCCUAGAGCACCGAAAGGAUUGGCGGAAGAAGAUGAGCCUGGAGUCGGACAAGCUGCUCCAUGAGUCAUAAGCUUAUGCAUCGCCAUGGUCAAUACUCUUCUUCUUCUUAUUCCUCUUCAAUCUACAACAUAAUUGUUAUUAAAUAAAAGAUUAUAAAAUAAUAAUAAAAAAUAAGUCGUCUGUUUCUCAAAAUUGCACCCAAAAGGGCAAAAUUGUAAUAUAAUAUAAAUGUUGAAUUGAAAAAAUCAACAGCUGUUGAUUUUUAGGUUUAUUUUGGGUGUAUUUAUAAACAUUAAAUACUAUAGAGUUUAUUUAUAGUUUUAUGUUUAGGAGAAUGGGUAUUUAACUAAUUUUCUUUAAAAAUAAGAUUAAUUGAUAAAUCCCAUCGAUUGGAAAAGUUCAUUGAAACUAAAAUUAUUUCGAGAAUCUUAUUUGAAAACUUAAUAAAACGUUUGGGAUUACCUACCCAACCAUUGAGGAAUUGGGUUUUUAAUAUAUAUAUUUUUCCUUUUAUCAAUUAAGAAAUAAUUAAAACAGUUGAAAAUGGAGUGCAAGUUAGAAAAUUAAGUAUAAAAAAAAAAAAUAUAUAAAAGUAAAGUAAAAAGAAAUUAAUAUAAAGUAAGAGUAGAAUAGGAAAGAGAAAGAAUAAAAAAGAACAAAAUUGAUUAAAAAAUAUUAAAAAAUAAAAAAGAGUGUAAAUGGACAAAAGAUAAGUAGGAAAAAAAAAAAAAACCUCUAGAAACUAUAUUUGGAGUAACAUACGAAAAAUUGUGUAAAAUAGGACUAUUAAUAUUAUAUAUUCAAAAAUAAAAUAAAAUAUAACAUACAAAAUCCAAAAAAAAUAAAUUAAAAAAAGAAAGGAAACACAUGCACUAAUAUCAUUAGUGUGGGUACAAUGUAUGCGUGGAUAAGGUUUGUGUAUGAGAGAGGUAGCAAAAUUGUGUAUUGUAGAGAAACAAAAAAAAAAAGUCGUGUCAUAAUUACAACUAUCCAUAUUACACUUCAAUUUCAACUUAAAUUAUCAUUCAACUUAAUUAAAUUCAAUAGAAAUUUAGUUAUAUACCCAAUCUUAGACAUGGUUUUAUAAAGAAACCCUACACCGUUUAAAAACUAUAAACACACCCAAAAAAAAUCCAAAAAUUGACAGCUAUCAAUUUUUUUUAAUUUAAUAGUUGUUUUUUAGUUUAUUUGUGUGUGUUAAAUACCUAUAUUGUCCUUGUACUAUGGAUUUAAGAGAGGAAAAUUAGAUCUGCCCAAAUCUGCCAUAAAACCAAAUAUUUCCAUGUCUGCCAAAAAACCAAAUCUGCCAAAAAAACCAAAUCUGCCAAAAAAUCAAAUCAUAUUUAUUUUCUCCUUUCUCGCUGGUGUUUUCUCUGGUGUUGGAGCAAGAGGAGCUUCCAUUGAAGCUUAGUCUCAGGUCCACUAUAUUAUUCAUCUUUAAUCUACAAUUUUCAAUAUUUCACCUUCAAUUUCUUGUUCUAAAAUCGUGCUUCUAUUGAUUUUUUCUUUUUUCGGAUUGUUCAAGACCUUGAAAAAACCUCGAUCAGAUGCUUUUAGCUCUGCUCCUCAUCUUCGAGCUCUACUCCUCUUUCGCCACAUCAUUGUCGUUGUUAUCGUCGUCGCCGUCGUCGUCGUCGUUUGGUUUGUACUUGAGAUUUUUGAUCUUUUGCUUCAAUUAUGUGUUUCUCUUCGGAUUUUAGUUGAUUUUCGAAAUGUAUUUGAAGCUUUGAUGAUCGAUUCAACUAUUGUUACUAUUUCAGUUAUGAAUCUCAUUUUUGUUUAACAAUGUACUUCUGUGAUAGGGUAUUAACAAUGUACUUCUAUGACAGAGUAUUAACAAUAUACUUCUAUGACAUAAUAGUAUUAACAAUCUGGGCUCAGCUUGUUUUGAGUUGGUCUGGUUUGUUCUUUCUUCAUCUUUUCUUUGGUGGACAUGUAUUAGAAAUAGCAACAUGAUAAACAUUAAUCAACAUGACAGUAAACUAGCAGUGUUAUUACCCUAGACUAGAACAUUACAGGGGUAAACAUGCAUUAGAAAUAGGAUGUCAUAGGAAAUAGCAGUGCUAUUACCCUAGACUAGAACAUUAUAGGGGUAGAUAUGCAUUAGAAAUAGAAUAUCAUAGGAAACAAGCAGUGUUAUUACCCUAGACUGGAACAUUACAAGAGUAAACAUGCAUUAGAGAUAGGAUGUCAUAUGAAACUAGUAUUGUUAUUACCCUAAACUAGAACAUUACAACCAUUAAUCAGCAUGACAAUAAACUAGCAAUAUUAUUACCCUAGAUUGGAACAUCAGCCAUUAAUCAACAUGACAAUAAACUAGCAAUGUUAUUACCUUAGACUGAAACAUUACAUGGGUAGACAUGCAUUAGAAAUAGGAUAUCAUAGGAAACUAGCAGUGUUAUUACCCUACACUGGAACAGUACAGGGGUAAACAUGCAUUAGAAAUAGGAUGUUAUAGGAAAUUAGCAGUGUUAUUACUCUACACUGGAACAUUACAACCAUUAAUCAACAUGACAUAGCAGUGUUAUUACCCUAAACUGGAACAUUACAACAAUUAAUCAACAUGACAAUAAAGGUGUAGAACAUUACAAUGAUUAAUUAACAUGACACGUUAAUGAAACUACGGUUUUCAAGACCUUUUGUUUGUAAUGAAUUGUUUGGGUUUUUUUAUAAAAUUGGGUUGGGCUUGUUUUGGGUGCUAUUUAAGUUUUUUGUGUUGGUCUUCUUUUUUAAAUUGAUCAAUGACAGUCAUGUAAUUUAUAAGAACUUAAACACUAAUUUUUUAUGUAGUAAAUGAGUUUUGGGUGUGUUUCUAAAGUGCAAUCCAUGUGGGGUUUUUUUUUAUAAUUUCACUCAAAUUCAUUUCAAUUUAAUUUGAGAAAAAUAAUAAAAUAAUAUAUUUUUCUUAGAGAAAAUGGGGUAAAAAUUAAUGAAACUAAUACAGCAUAGUGUUUUCAUCAACAAUUCAUCAUCAAGAUAAAUGUCCACACUCAAUUGGAAAACGAAAAAAACUUGUGCAAGAAAGGGAUAUGUGGCUGUACAUACAUACAGCUGCUAAAUUACAACUGCCAUGCUACUUUAAUAGACUAAUCUAACUUAACUUAAUAUUAUUUAAUUAGUUAUUUGUACAUUAAAACUUUUUAAUUGUUAUAUUAUAUUAUGUUAUAAAUAUUUAUUAAUUUAAAAUAAAUAUAUCAUUUAUCGAGCCGAAUUCAAAAAUGAGGAUAACAAUACUAUCCUAUCCUAAUCAGAUUAUUUUAAAAUUGAGAUCCCCAUGCCCGCUCCCAUUUUCCCCGUGCCCACUUUUUCAGCAAUAAUAGACCCAUACAAGAUGGUAUCUACUUUUCCGAAUUUUCAGAGCAAUCAUAGAACCAUAGCAAGAUUUCUAAGCAAUAGUUGAUCAUCUCUCUCUUCUAGUAUAUCUGAGCUGAGCCCCAAUCCACCACCACACAAUCGAAUCUUAUCUUCUCACAUGUAUUUUGAUUUUUAAAUUUUGUGUUUCAUCUGGUUGAUUGCUCCCCAGAAUUAAUCCUAGAUGUGUUGUUUUGAUUAAGCUAGCAUAUACCAAAAUAAGGCCAUUACGGCGUCAGUUUCCGCAGACCUUUUCAUUGGCAAAUUUGUAGCAAUUCUCGAGAGUGAAGCAGCCUCCAUAGCGGGUGUUGCUGAUCAAGUUGAUGAGAUUAAGCGGGAGCUGGAAUUCAUGAAGGCCUUCUUAGCGGAUGCUGACGAGGGCAACAAAGCACACACACAAGUAAACGAGGUGUGGAUCAGAAGCGUUCUAGACUCGGCCAAAGAUGUUGAAAACAUCAUGGAUGAAUUCAUGUAUCACGUGUACGAGCAGCAAAUUGGCCGUCGAUUUGCCAAGUGGAUACACAAAACCAUUCACUUUCCAAAGCACCUUUUGUAUAAGCGUAAAAUAGCCAACAAGUUACAGAAAAUCGCGAUGGCAAUUAGAGCUAUUACAGAGCGAAAUCAGAGAUAUGGUUGUGGUGCAGCUGUAGAAGGAAAAAGUACUUCUUCUGAGGAUAUUCGCAGAUGGGUGCAGAAUCAAGCAGAGUCUUCUCUUUAUCAUAAGGAGGAUUGAAGUGUUGGCGUGACUUGUGGAUAUUGACUUACUUUCCUUACACACCAAGAAUUCCUAUUAUAAUUGUAAUUGAUUUACUUUAAUUCAUGAUUUCCUACUGUAAAUGGAUUUAGGAAUUUAUUAUUUACUUGCCCAUUCAGGUUUUGUUGUAUUAUAAAUAUAAUCUCCUACAAGGAGAAGAAUACACAGAAAAUUCCCACAAACAAAUAUUCUCUCAUAGUUUUCAUAUUUUAGCAUGAAGGUGAUAAGAACUUGUUAAUGGGAUCGCUGACGAACGAAGAGCAAUGCCAAACUGUUGUGUCUGUGGUCGGGAUGGGAGGAUCGGGGAAGACAACUCUAGUUGCAAGGACUUUCAAAGAUGAAAUUGUAAAGAGACAUUUCGAAUGCUAUGCGUGGAUUACUGUUUCCCAGUCUUAUGUGAUUGAAGACUUACUUAGAAGAUUGAUCAAAGAAUUCCACAAAGCAAAGAAGGAAGAGGUCCCUGCAGACAUGAAUGCCAUGAGUUAUAACGAAUUGCUGGAGAUUUUGGUGAACUACUUGGAGACUAAAACGUACCUAGUUGUAUUGGAUAAUGUGUGGGAUGUCCACCUUUGGGAGAAAAUAAGGUUUUCAUUUCUAGAUAAACAACUUGGAAGUCGAGUCAUGCUUACAACUCGAAGAGAAGACAUAGCAUCCUCUUCUUUUGGAGUUGAAAGCCGUGUUCACAAGAUUCAACCGCUGGAAAAAGGUGAUGCUUGGGAGCUCUUCAGGAUGAAAGCAUUCUCUGUUAGUGUUUGAAUUCUUAGCUGGGUUUCUAUGGAAGGUUUGAGUAGAGAGGAAAACACAGAGAGAAUAGAGGAAGAUUCAAGCUAUAUGUGUAAUGCUCUGUUACUCUCAAAGUCUGAGAGUGAGUGUAUAUAUUUUUAUCAAAAUUCACGCACAAAGGCAUGAGUACACAACCGUUAGCUUUAGCUGUACACACACAAUCAACAAUACAAUCUCAGCCUUACACUUGUCAUAAUCUAGACUAAGUGAAUACACAAUUUAAAACAAGGCUUAUUUACUCUAACUUUACUUAGCUCACAGCUUAUACACUAAUACUCCCCUUUAAGCUUUGAGCUGAUACAACUCCAAGCUUAUCUCUGAGAUAGUUGAAUCUAUCUUUUGGUAAGGCCUUUGUAAAAAUGUCUGCUACUUGUUCUUUGGUUGGGCAGUAUACCAAAUCAACAAUUCCUUGCUGCAAGGCAUCUUUUGUGAAAUGAUAUCUUCUGUCAAUGUGUUUAGUCCUCUGGUGAAACACAGGAUUUUUAGAUAUGGAGAUUGCAGAUGUAUUGUCACACUGCAAAGGGGUUGCUUCAGCUGGUAACUCUCCAAAAUCUUCAAGAACAAACCUGAGCCAUAUUGCUUGAGUUGUUGCUUCAGCAGCACUUAUAUACUCAGCCUCUGCAGUGGAAAGUGCAACACAAUUCUGUUUCACAGAAGCCCAUGAGAACACUCCACUACCAAAGGAAAACGCAUAGCCUGAGGUACUCUUGCUGUCAUCUACUGAUCCCCCCCAGUCACUAUCACAAAAGCCAACUAAAACUGCCUUCUUGCCUUUCAUAUAAUGUAAACCAUAGUCCAAUGUUCCUUUGACAUAUCUGAGCACUCUCUUAGCUGCUCCAUAGUGCUUGUUUGACGGUCCAUGCAUAUAUCUAGCUAACAGACUAGCUGCAUACAUCACAUCUGGCCUUGUAGCAGUAAGAUACAGUAAACUGCCUACAAGUUUUCUGUACUGCUCUUCAUCUGCAGCACCACUUCCAUCUUCUUUACUUAACUUUUCAGUAGCCACAAGAGGAAUAGAAACAGAUUUGCAUUCUUUCAAUCCAAACUUAUCCAACAAAGCAGAAGCAUACUUCUUUUGAUGAAUGAAAAUGCUAGAUUCUGUUUGAAUCACCCCCAUUCCCAGAAAAUGAUGAAGAAGACCCAAGUCUGACAUCUCAUACUUCUCCUUCAUAUCUUCUUUAAACUCCUCUAGCAUCUCUUGAUUGUUUCCAGUAUACACAAUGUCAUCCACAUAAAUGGAGACAAUUAGUAUAUCAUGUUCUCCCCUUGUUUUAGUGUAGAGAGUUGCUUCACUUAAGCUUUUCUCAAACCCACACUUAGCAAAAUAGCUAUCAAUCUCUCCAUACCAGGCCCUAGGUGCCUGUUUCAAGCCAUAAAGAGCCUUGUACAGUUUGUACACCUUAUCUUCCUUGCCAUUAAUCACAAACCCUUCAGGUUGAUCAACAUACACUUCUUCCUGCAAUAUUCCAUUUAAGAAAGCAGACUUAACAUCUAAUUGAAAUAGCUUCCAGCUUCUUUGUGCAGCAAGAGCAAUCAGUGUUCUGAUUGUAUCUAGUCUAGCAACUGGAGCAAAUGUUUCAUUAUAAUCAAUGCCUGGUUUCUGCACAUACCCUUUAGCAACCAGCCUUGCCUUGUUCUUCUGUACAGAGCCAUCUAAGUUCAACUUGGUUUUGAACACCCAUUUCACACCAAUAACCUGCUUAUCACUUGGUCUGUCUACAAGCUCCCAAGUCUUAUUUUUUUCAAUCAUGGACAGCUCUUCUUCCAUUGCUUUUAUCCAAGCCUUAUCCUGUGCAGCCUCUUCAUAUUUUUCAGGUUCCACAAUACAGAGAUUGCAUUGUGCUAGAAUGUCAUUUAUGUUUCUCCACUUUAAUGGAGUAUGAUCAUAGGGCUGAGAGAUAUCAGCAUGCUCAGGAAUGGCAUUCUCUUGUUCUUCAGCUUGAGAGAAAAUGCAAGGACUAGAAGGACUUCUCUCGACUUCAGUCAACUCAUGUGGAAUCACUUCAAUUCCAUUUUCAGGUUGCUUUGGAACAUAGGUCAUAGCAACAGAAUUUUCUGAAGUUUCCUUCCAGUUCCAAGACUUGGUUUCAUCAAAAACUACAUCCCUUGACAGAAUCAGCUUCUUAGUGCUUGGAUCAAAUACUCUGUACCCUUUCUCACAGGUUGCAUAACCCACAAACACACCUUGGACAGACUUUGCAUCAAGCUUUUGUCUUCUUUCAGUUGGUACAUGCACAUAACAGAGUGAUCCAAACACCUUUAAGUGACCAAUUCCUGGUUUUCUUCCACUAUAAGCUUCAAAAGGAGUCAUGUUAUCAAGGGCUUUUGUAGGUGUUCUGUUUAAAAUAUAGACAGCUGUAAGUACAGCUUCUGCCCAGAGAAAGUAUGGCAUGCCUUUAUCAUGAAGCAUUGCCUUUGCCAUCUCUACAACUGUUCUAUUCUUUCUCUCCACUACUCCAUUUUGUUGUGGAGUAUAAGCAAUAGAUAACUGUCUUUGUAUGCCUUCAGAUUCCAGCAAUUUGCUGAAUUCAGUUGAGAGAAAUUCUCCCCCUCUGUCACUCCUUAGGCAUUUCACUUUGAAUCCACAUUGUAACUCCACCAUUGCCUUGAACUUUCUGAAACAGAUUAGUGCCUCAGACUUGUGUCUUAGCAAAUAAACCCAUGACAUCCUUGUGUGAUCAUCAAUAAGCAACAUGAAAUAUUUAUUCCCAGCAAUUGAUUCAUUUUGCAUGGGACCACACAAAUCUGUGUGUAUCAAUUCUAGGGGAUUCUUAGCUCUCCAAGCUUGUUCUUUUGGAAACCAAUCUCUGUGUUGUUUUCCCAUUUGACAUCCUGCACAUACACCAUUUACAUCUUCAAGAUGUGGAAGACCAUGCACCAUUUCCUUUUCUCUAAGCUGCUUGAGACUUCUAAGGUUUAGAUGUCCUAGUCUCUUAUGCCAAAUCCAGGUACAUUCAGUCACACUAGCCUUCAAUGCAAUGUGAUCAGCUUGCAUUAGAGACAGAGGAUAGCAUCUGUUAUUUUUCAUCUUAACCUUGAUAACUAGACAGUCAAGUGAAGGACCAUCAAAGAUACAACACUCUCUUCCACCAAAUAGCAAGUAAUAUCCAUGUUCAUCCAUCUGUCCCACACUCAGCAAGUUUUCCUUCAAACCAGGUAGAAACAUGACUUCCUUGAUGCACUUUCUGCCAGAAUUUGUAUCAAUCAUAAGUGAACCUAUUCCAGCAACAUCUACCAGAUUUCCAGUGGGCAUUUGGACUUUUCCAGUGACAUUUGUCCUUACAUCCACAAGGAGCUCAGCAUUUCCAGUCAUGUGGUUGCUACAACCACUAUCAAUGUACCAAUUCCCACUCACUUUGAUCUCAGUAAUUGCACUGUUAGCAUAGAACAGAUUUCCUGUUACAUCUGCCUGAUUAGCACAGUUUGCCUUUUGAACAACCUUGUCUGCUGUGCAUUCUCUAGCCCAAUGUCCAAAUCUAUCACAGUUGUGACAUUUGGAUUGUCCCUUGUAUCGACAUUCUCCAAAAUGAAACUUAGAACACACCUUGCAUUGUGGCUUAACUGUAUCUUGUUUCAUAAAUCCUGCAGAGGUUGAAUUCUGUGCAGGAUUAGCAAAUGACUUUUGCUGAGACUGAGGCUUUGAAUCCCACUUCUUGCCCUUUCCAUUCCAGUUUUUCUUAGUUCCACUUGACUGAGAAUUACUCUUCUGUUGCUGACUUUUUGGAUUCACAGAAAAAGAACCAAAAGCUUUAUCAGUGGCAUCAACAGUGUGCAUAUCAAACCGUUGUUCCUGGCUCUUAAGAAUUGCCAGAACCUCCUGUAAUUCAACUUUGUCUAUACACUUCGUAUUCUCAAUCACAAGACAGAUGGGAUCAUAAGGUUUGCUAAGACUUAUUAAAACCUUUUGCACAAGCCUUUCAUUAGGCAAUACCUCACCAAACGUCUUCAUUUGAUUAAUUAGUUCAUUCAACCGUGUAAGAUACUCAGAUAACGUUUCAUCAUCACGCAUCCUAGUAUACUCAAAUUCACGUCGAAGAUUUUGGAGUUUAACUGAUCGUACCUGAUCACCACCGUGAUAUUCACCAUAUAGCAGAUCCCAUGCCAUCUUUGCUGUAUCAGCAUUGGCAAUUCGAGGGAAUAUUUGAUCCGAGACUGCAUUCUGGAUAAUACCCAGAGCUUUCGCAUCUCGCAUGUGUUCUGCCACAGUUUUCUCAUCAUCUUCCUCUUUUUCACUUCCUUCAGCCAUCAUCUUCUUUGAAUCAGAGAUCGUAACCCCCUUUUCAACUAAUUUCCAUAACCCAUGAGAUUUAAAGAUUGUCACCAUCUUGAUUCUCCAGAACUCGUAGUUCUCACCGGAGAAGAUCGGAGUUCUCACCUCAGAACCUCCAGAUCCAGCCAUCUCUAGGCUUAGAUGAUACGAAUCUCAAAAUCAAAAACGAUGGGGUUCAGCAAUUUCACCUGAACUAGAACGAGCUUGAGUGCAGCUCGAUUGCAGCAACGUCGCACAGUCUACGCCCAGAUCUCAGAUCGAACCUGGCUCUGAGGCCAUGUUAGUGUUUGAAUUCUUAGCUGGGUUUCUAUGGAAGGUUUGAGUAGAGAGGAAAACACAGAGAGAAUAGAGGAAGAUUCAAGCUAUAUGUGUAAUGCUCUGUUACUCUCAAAGUCUGAGAGUGAGUGUAUAUAUUUUUAUCAAAAUUCACACACAAAGGCAUGAGUACACAACCGUUAGCUUUAGCUGUACACACACAAUCAACAAUACAAUCUCAGCCUUACACUUGUCAUAAUCUAGACUAAGUGAAUACACAAUUUAAAACAAGGCUUAUUUACUCUAACUUUACUUAGCUCACAGCUUAUACACUAAUAUUCUCAAGUUAUCCAAACAAAUCUUGUUCAACAGAAAUUCUGCCGUUAGCUCGGGAACUUGUGGAGAAGUGUGAAGGCCUACCUCUUGCGAUCGUAGGCUUGAGUGGGCUUAUGUCUUCUAAGAAGUCACUUACAGAGUGGAGCACAGUCUACAGCAGCUUAAAUUGGCAUUUAACAAACAAUCCCUUACGCUUAAUGAUUUGGAAUAUUGCACUUGUGUUCAAGAAAUUAUCCUUUCAUGGAUGUAAAGCCAUAUAAAUUGUUUGUUAAUUACAAUAUUGCUUGUCUUUUUAUAUAUUUUGCAUAAACAAGUCCAGGUAUGUCGAUGUUGAGAAUUCACAGUAUCCCAUACAAUCUGGGAUUAGUUGGGAAACUAUUUCAUUGUUGUAAUUUGUAAUUGAUUCUGUACUCUUAGCUAAAGAUAAAUGAUAAUUUUCUUCUGUUGCCUAUGUUUACUUCUAUAAACUUUUUCAUUUGUAUGAUUCAAACUCUAAAGAGGGGGGAUUAAAAUGAAUAUCUACAAGCUCUAAUAUGAGGUUUUAUAAUUUUGCUUCACAAGUGGAAUGCAUUCACAAAUUUUUAAGAAGCUCACACAAAGCAUGGUUUGAUUGGCAGAUUGAAAAGCUUCACAAGUGGAGAUGUUGUCACGUCUCAGAUAUCCUCGGAUCUAUAUAAUUUAGAAUUAUGGUGGAGGUAUGGGUGCAAAGGAAGUCUGGGACCAUUUGUUAGAUAGGGACUGUGUAUAAGUUUUGGUCCUAUUUUCUGUAGGAUUUUUACAGAUAGUUGAGGGUGUUCUGUUGUAAGAUUGUACUGUUUUGAUGAAUAAUCUUUUUUAUCUGUUUCUUAUUCAGGAGUAGUAGAUCAUGAUUUUUGACAUGUUCGUUUAUUAAAACUUUGAAGGGUUGUGAAGAUAAGCAAACAAUUUAUUUCUAUUUUUACUGAAAUUAUCUGUUUGGUGAUUGAUUGUUGACUGAUACAAGUGUAUUUUUGGGUCAGCUCAUUUUUGGCUUUGAGUUUAGACCUGACCUGACACGAGAAUUGAUGCCAACUCAAUUUGGCCCAAGGGUCGCACAAAAUUAGACCUGACCCAAACCGUGCCCAGACUUAUAUUUUGUAAUAAAAACCUAGUCAUUUAUUAAUGACAAUUAUGAAAUGAACAAGUUUUAUUUAUUUCCGCCAAUUUUUCAUUUCACAUUUCAUUCAAUUAUCAUAGAUGGGAAGAAUAGACAAAAAUGAACCAACAUAUUUACAUCAACUACUCAAAAAGUCAAGUAAAAGUUCUAUCCAUCUCUCCUUUGAUCCCAGGAUAUGUUUGUAUUGCUUGUGAAUACCACAUAGUUGGAUAGAACUUCUUUAAUCAUUUGCCAUUGAUUGGCACAACAUGGGCUUCUCCAUCUUGAUCUUGUAACCUAUACACCCCUAAUCCAGGGAUUUGUUUAAUUACAAAAGGGCCUUUCCAAGUGGGUGACCAAUUUCCAUAACCAGCCACGUGGGCUCCAACGAGCAAAAUUGCUCUCCAGACAAUCUCUCACUCUUCAAAGCUCUUGUUUUUAACUCUUUUAUUAUAAGCUCUUUCCACAACUUCUUUUCUUGCUAAGAGUUUGUUGAGGGUAUCAAUUCUAAUUGUAUUCAAUCCUUCCAAUUCUAGCAGUAUUGCUUGUGAAUAGUCUUCUCCAACUAAGUUAUGCUGCUGGGCAAUUCUGAUGGAUUGGACUGUGGUUUCCAUGGGCAGAAUCGCGUCAUGUCCAUAGGUUAGAGCAUAUGGGGUCAUGCCAAUUGCCUCUCUAUUUGAAGUUCUAUAGGCCCAUAAGGUUUCCGACAAUUUUUCGUGCCAUUGCCUUGGAUUUUCCUCAAGCAUUUUCCUGAUGAUAUUAAUGACCAUCUUGUUGCUUGAUUUUGCCUCUCCAUUUGCCUAAGCAUAGUGAGGAGUGGACUGGAGUAACCUGAUCUUGAGCCUACUUGCCAUAUUUUGCAUCUCUCUGGAUAUGAAAAAAUUCCCUCUAUCAGUUGUGAUUGAUUCUGGUAUGCCAAACUUAUGCACAAUCUGUUCUUCAUUGAAAGUGAUGAUCUCUUGAGAUGUGGUGGAUUUGACCAAUUUAGCCUCCACCCAUUUAGUGAAGUAAUCUAUAGCCACAAUGAUGAAACAGUGAUGUUUGCUGCUGGCUAGAUAGAUUUUGCUAAUGAGGUCCAUUGCCCAUCCCCUGAAUGGUCAUGGCUUAACGACUAGAUUCAUGGGGACUAAGGGAGCUUGCUAGAUUGGUCCAUGUCUUUGGCAAUAUUCUAUGCACUCCUUCAUCAUGGUAGGCCAGAAAUAACCUUACCUUCUGAUCAGCUAGCACAUUUUCCUUCCAUCUUGAUGUGCUCCACAUGUUCCUUCAUGGACUUGUCCUAUGACUUUCAUGUAUUCUUCCUUUCACAAGCAUCUCAAGAGUAGUCCAUCCUUGCUCUUUCAAACCAAAUCUUCAUUCCACAUAAGGUAAUUUAAAGCCAUGAUUCUUAUCUUUUUCUUGGAAGGGAGGGUUGGAUAUUGCAAAUAAUUGAUUAUAGGCAAUCUCUAAUCCUCAUCAGUCUUUAUGGCAUAAUUGACAUCUAUCUCCAUCCCUUUAGCUAGAACAGAUGGUAGACUCUUUUUUCCCAUUUUAAUGAUUCUCUAUACACAGUCUUCAUGUAUUUGCACUCAUGUUGCAAUCUGAGCCAUUUCAUUGGCUGCAAAAUUCUCUUUCCUUAGAAUAUGUUCCCAAGUAGUUUCCCUGAAUUCUGCCAGGAGAUUUUUGGCUGCCACAAAACAAACAGCUAAGGAAGGAUUCAAACACUUGUAUUCUCCAGCAAUCUGCUUUAGAACAAGCAUGGAAUCUCCCAGGAUUUUCGUAGACUGGAUUUCUAGUUCUACCAUCAUCUUAAGACCAACGAUCAAAGCUUCAUACUCUGCUCUGUUGUUGGUGCACUGGAAAUCUAGCUUGUAACAUCUCACAUCGACCAACGAAGAAGGGGUGAUGUGCCUUAUAUGUACAUGCCCAUCUCCAUCUAGCACGAGGCCUUUUGAGAGCUCACUAGCUUCAGAGUCAUGGGAACUCCGAAGUUAAAUGAGUUGGGGCUAGAGCAAUCCCAGGAUGGGUUACCCACUGGGAAGUUACCUGUGAGUUUCCAAAAAAAAAAACAUGAGGACAGAGAUGGUGGCCUAAAGCGGACAAUAUCGUGCUACAACGGAGCUGAUCCCGAGAUGUGACAAUUUGGUAUCAGAGCCACUCUGUCGUGUGGUGCGAGUGUGCCGACGAGGAUGUCAGGCCCUUAAGGGGGAUGAAUUGUAGCAUCUCACAUCAACCAACUGAGAGGGGGUGAUGUGUCUUAUAUGUACAUGCCCACCUCCAUUUAGCACGAGGCCUUUUGGGAGCUCACUGGCUUCGGAGUCAUGGGAACUCCGAAGUUAAGUGAGUUGGGGCUAGAGCAAUCCCAGGAUAGGUGACCUAUUGGGAAGUUGCUCAUGAGUUCUUAGAAAAAAAAAACCGUGAGGCCAUAGAGGAAGGCCCAAAGUAGACAAUAUCGUGCUACGGCAGAGCUGAUCCCCGGAUGUGAUAUAGCUGGGAUGAAUAACAAUAUCUGAUUCCCAAUGGAUCAUCUAAAACAAUUCAUGCUUCAGAAGCCAGGUCGAUUUUAGAUCCAUCAAAAUACAAAUUCCAAGGGGUGAGAUGGACUAAGUAUAUGGGAUUAUUAAGACAGAUAUGAGCUCUACUCAGCAAAUAUGCAUUGGCUAUAUCCAUGGAAUCUAUGUUCUCAAUCUCUUCCCCUGGAUGAUCUGCCAAGAAGUCUGCAAUAGUCUGUCCUUUGAUAGCAGUGAAGUACAAAGUCAGAGUCCAUUUACCAAUUCUGCCUCUCAAUAUUGGCCUCGUUAGCAUGUACUUGAUCAAAUCUGUUUUAGCAAUGAUGUAGAUGGUAAAAGGUAGCAUGUAAUGUCUGAGCUUUAUAGCAGUGAAGUACAAAGCCAAACAUAACCUUUCAAUCGCAGAAUACUUUCUUUCCACUUAUGUUAGAGUUCUGCUCAGGUAAUAGACUACAUGUUCCUUCCAUUCCUUGUUAUCUUGAACCAAAAGGCUCCUAAUAGAUACCUCUGAUGUAGAGACAUAUAAUUUGACUGGUCUGCCACUUUUUGGUGGAGACAGAACUAGUGGACUUGAGAGGUAAUGUUUGAUUUUCUCGAAAGCUGGCUAGUGUUGUUCUUCCCAUCUAAAUGCUUGUUUUUGUUUCAACUUUAGCAAGAAAGAGAAAUGCUGGAUUUUUCAGGGAGAAUUUGAUAUGAAUCUUAUGAGAAAGUUGAUCUUCCCUAACAGACUUUGCAAUUCUUUCUUGUUCCGAGGUGGCAAAGUUUGUAUGAUAGAUUUUGCUUUGUUCUUGUCAAUUUCUAUACCUUUUUGGUGGAUUAAGGACCCUAAGAAAUUGCCAGCUUGAACCCCAAAGAUGCAUUUUUUGGGAUUCAUCUUCAACUUGUGUUGUCUCAUUCUUAGAAAAGCUUUUCUUAAAUUAGAUACAUGAUUUCCCUUUUCUGGCGACUUAAUCACCAUGUCAUCUAUGUACACCUCUAGGGAAUGACCUAUCAUGUCAUGGAAUAUGAAGUUCAUUGCUCUUUGAUAGGUAGCCCCUGCAUUUCUCAAACCAAAAUGCAUCACAACAUAUUCAAAGGCAUCUAUGUAUCCUAGACACAUGAAAGUAGUUUUGUGAAUGUCUUCUUCUGCCACCAUUAUCUGUUUAUAGCCAGCAUUGCCAUCCACAAAUGAUAGCAUUUGGUUAUGAGCUACUCCAUCCACCAACAUAUCUGCCAUUAGCAUGAGGUACUCAACUUUGGGAGAUGCCUCGUUCAAAUUCCUGUAGUCCAUGCAAACUCUGACUGCUCUUGUCUUUCUUUUAAGAACUGGUACAGUGUUGGACAACCAAUCAACAUAACUGGCUGGCUUGAUAAAACCUACUUUAACUAGUCUUUCUAUUUCCUUUUUGACCUUCAAUUGUCUCCAUGGACAUUCUUCUUCUAGCCUGCUUGACUGAUAGGUAUCCUUCUUUUAUUGACAGUUUGUGCUAUACCAAUCCUCUGUCCAGUCUAGGCAUUUCAUGAUAAUGUCAUACGAAACAGUCUCUGAAAUCAUGCAGAAGUGCAAUGAUUUCAUCCUUCAAUGGUUUUGUAGCAAUGCACUGAUAAAAGUAGGCGUAGGAUCCUCUUCUGUCCCUAAGUUUAUUUCCUGUCAAAAGGUCUUCCACUUAUGGCAAGGAGUUAUCCAAUGUUGUUGGUGCAAACUCCAAUUCCUCCUCUUGUAAACUUUCUUCCUUCUCUUAUGCACUCUCAUGCAUGAAUUCUACCAUAUUAACGGCUGGAUUCUGCAUAAAGAGCUUCAUUUCUUCCCAAUAUACCAACAAUCUACUUGUAAUGGAUCAGAUUGUUGUAGCUCGAUCCUUUUCUUGUUAGUUUGAGCUAAACAUCAGAAUUUUGGAGGUUUAGGACAGAAGGCCUUUUCCAAUCCUCUAGAGAACUGGCUAGACCUUCUUCAAUGAGCCUCUGGGCCGUGACACCAUGGGGGCCGCCGUUCUGAUUGACUGCAAGGAAAGUAAAAGCACCAAGAUCAUCAUGAUAGUACCUGGCCUCGAAACACAUUGUAGAUGUAGAAAUGGCCAUGGAUCGGCCUCUACUAUCUCCAUAAAACCCUCUUCGUUCUAGAAGGCUAACUGUUGGUGUAGGGUGGAAGGAACACAUAGGCUCUGGUGGAUCCAGUUCCUGCCGAGCAAUGCAUUGUAAGUGGUAGAAGUGGUGUCUACCAUAAAGAAAGCAAUCUUUAGCUUCUUGGUUCCUUCUAUGACAUCCACAUCCAGUAUCUCAUAUGUCUUAGUGAUGCCCUCAGCAAAAUUUGGGACUGUAAUACGCGUUAGGAUUAGGUCUUUUUCUGUUUUGCCUAUCUUAGCCAAGGGUCUGUGAGGUAGCAGAUUGAUGGAUGCGCCUCCAUCUACCAUUACUUUAGUUAUAGGAAUCCCACCAAAAUUUACAAUGAUGAACAAGGGUUUGAGAUGAUUUGCCAUUUCCUCGGUAGAUUUGGUAAAGCACAACUACUUUGCAGGCAUUUUCAUGGUAGUUUUGCCUAUUUUGACAUCAAUGUUUUGCUGGUAUGGCACUUCUUACACUUCUGCCAACCUGCAUUCAAAACUUUCUUGGGAUAGUACAUCCCCUACCAUGGUCCUUUCUUGUCCUUCUGCUGCUCUAAACUUUUCUGACAAAAUAAACACCAUAUUGAUGCCCAAAUCACCUUGUAACAAACCUUCCAGUUCUGCACUGAAAGUUUGAGUUUCUUCAUGUAGUUCUCCGUCAUAUUUCGCCUGUUCUUCUCCAUAUUCCUUAGUCCAGUUCUCUCGAUCAUCUGUUUCAAGGAUUCCAGUCUGGUUGUUUGCAGAUGGUUCAUAAUCCAUCUGCUCUUCCUAGUAUUCUCCAGCCUAGUUCUCUUGGUCAUUUGCUAGAAGAAGUCCAGAUUGAUCCUGUAACUGUGAAAGCUCAAACUGAUUACUCGCAAAUGAACCUUGGUGGAUAAAGGAUUCAUUUGGAAAUUCUACUUCUGUCAGUUCCUCGGGUUGGUACACUGCCUGCUCUGCUUGAAGAUCCCCUUCUGGAUCAUUCUCAAUUCUGGCAGAACUGAUAUUUGUAAACACCUGUGUGUUUUCCCUGUUCUUAAGGAAAGUGCAAUACUGCCUCUAGAUUCUCCUUCUCUGUUUUUUGGUCAGCUUGAGGGUUGGCCUGCCUUUUUUUUUUUUUUUUUCAACAGAAUAUCAUCUACCUUCUAUGAUAGUUACCAAUGGCCUAUCACUUCUGGGUAUUUUGAUUGGCAUUUCCCUAUUUGGCUACUUAGUCACCUUUCUAAUGUGUUGGGCAGGCUUCUAAUAGGACCUCUGUCUGGCUGUGGCCCUGGAUAGGGCUGAAACUGCGGUCUGCUGGUGUGAUGCUCCGAUUAUGUCAAAAACGCUCACUAUGGGUUGUUUCUGCUCAUCCAGAAUUAUCUCUAGCUCGCAAUCACAUUUGCAUAUGCUGCACAAAACUACUCCAGUUGAAAUAGUAGCCUUUGGCUUUCAAUUUACCUUCUUUGUGACUCUUCUAUCCACGUUGGGAUUGAUUUCCAUUAUCAAUUUGCCUUUCUCCUAUUCUGGCUCGCUUAAGUUGACCAUGUUCACCUAAAGUUGAGGAAAAGGGUAUGUUGUCACUGUGGGGGAUUUCUUAGCUAGCUUGAGCUUUCAUGUUAUUACUCCUUCUUGUAUAAUGUCUCUAAAAACAACAUAAUUAUUGGUGGGGUAAUUCCAAUAUUGUCUACCUUUGAGUUCUUCUGAAGGUGUUCCUAUCGCCUUUUGUAGGAGUAUUUCAUUAAACAAAGCGUCAACUUGGGUUAAAUUGAAAGAAUAGAUCUUGUUCUGUGCUGGUUUGUUUGGGACAAAUCCUCCUGUAAAUUGACAGGACCCGAUCUAAAUUCCACUUUGGAAUCUGAGUCAGACCCUGUGCGUAUCCGACACCUGGCAAAUGUCGGGCACAAAUGACUUAUUUGCCCUUCUAUACAAAACACGAUAAAAUAACAAGGUUGACUUCUACCGAAAAAUCGGCAGAGUUUCCCUUGUAACUGGCUCAAAACCGAAAUAUUUACACCUGUCAAAACAAGUAUAUAUAGACAACCAACUGCCAGCAUACAUAUCUAUACACAUGCCAAGAGUUCAAAGCUCAGUUUAGGGCAAAACAUCAGAGCGACUACUAAGAAUUUACAAAAGAGUGAAUCUUUGUACAAAAUACAAAUCCUAUAUCAGAAGAAAGACGCGGAAGAUGGGAAGUGGCCCGGUGGUGGAUUCCUGUGCACGUCUACUGCCUGGGGGUGCAAAACAACAAUAAAGGUGAGUGGACCCAAAACAAAACUUAGAAAAUAAUAUAUGAACAUACUAACCCCAACAGUUAUACAAACUAACUUAUUUUCUUUAUUUCUGAAAUCAAUGCAUGUAUAUAACUAUACAUUUGAAAACAGUUGAGAACUAUCAUCGAGGUGUACCCUCUUUCCGUCAAUUCCUUGUAUCCGUCAAUUCCUUGCAUCACCAUGGGUGACACAUACUCGUAGGUCUCAGUGACACGAGGUCAGUCCGAGCCGCAACUCGCAGGAUUUAGAGAACCGUAGUCCACCUUUAUCCGCAUUACUCGCUCCACACGAGUUCGAGUACCAAGGAACUCGUGGGGCAACUGUCAAGCAUGCUGACUAAACCGAAGGCAACAAAUAUAAUCCGAAGGCAACAUUUAAUAUCUGGGUACCAGGUGGUUUAAGAAAAUAUAAAUUUUCUGAAGAAAAUCUGUUGAAUAAUUAACUUUCUGUAACCUUUAAAAUUCUGCUGCCAUUUAUCUGAUAAUUAACGAGAAUAUCUGUUCAUAUAAGUUUUAAAGGAAACUUCACUCGGCAGCAUGCAACAUAAAAUAGUUAACAGCAUAAAACAGCUUAUAACUGAAACUGAACUGUUUAAAUUUAUUUAUUAAAACAAAGAGUCCACUCACUGAUAGUCUGAGCUCGCUGGACCUCUUGAAGGUCCCUCCUGCGGGUCAACUGGUGCCCGGGUGCUUGAUUCAAUGACCAUAAUAUUCUAUUAAUACAAUAUAGUAUGAAAUUAAAAACCCUACCCCCGGCUCCUAAAAGUACGUGCAUCAAUUUAAAGUGAUCCCUAUGCCCAUAAAAGCUUUCCUUCUACGUGGGGUAGUUUAGCGGUAUCUUGGGACUCAAAUAGCGCUAAGGUCCAAAAAGUCAAUCCGGAACCCCACGGGUCCAUGACCUCACAAUAUGAUCUGGAUGCCGCUAGAAAGUCCACUAUAUUUAGGACACAUGUCCCGAGGAUAUUGAUGUCAAUCGGACGGUCGGAUUGAUCACAAUCCUGCAAUCGCAUAAUUUCUAAACCCUAGCCCUAGGGUUCGGGAUUUCGGAGUACGAUUCACAAUCCGUCGAAUCCUAUACGUUUCUAAAAUUAUCUAGAAUAAUACAUCCAAAAUUGAUUACGAUCCAACGGCUCAACAGUAUUGAACCCGGUAAUCGCAUAAUAUGGAAAAUCCGUUCGAGGCUCAAACGGUAUCCAAAUUGAGAUCCGCGAAUUCCUAUGCGCUCGUGACGACCUAAGGAUUGCAUCAGAACACAGUUCCAUGGCACCACACUCGCCCACGAGCCGCCGCACACGCCGGCAGCGAUGGGUGUCCAAAGCGAUAACGCAUCGCCAGAAAAUCUCAAAACCAAGGCUCCAAACUCCUAUCCUAGGUAUAACACCAUAUUUGGAACCACUUUUGUUCUUGGACCUACCCCAAAAACUGACCGAAAGUGGCCGAGCACGGAGGCCGAAAGUCGACCGAAUGUCCAAUUUGAAAACUGAGCUAGCUACGGUGAAAGUCAACGCAAACCUACCCAACCAUCAGCUACAGCAUGGAAAAUAGGUAGAAAUUCAUACCUUACUCGACAAAUUUGGAGGAGAACUGAAGGAGAACGAACUGUUUGAAGUUUUGACAAAACCAAUCGAUUUUCUGCAAAUUCCGUCGACGACAACGGCGGAGUGGAGCGGCUGAGGGCUGAGGCGUGUAGAGGAGGACGAGCUGGUUCUUUUGGGACCGGUGCCGAUGGAAUUGAUGGCCGGACGUGGUGGUGGCGAGGAGAAGAAAAAUCGUCUGGGGAGGAGGAGGUUUCGCGCGACGAGAGAGAGAGAGAGAGAGAGAGAGAGAGAAACUGAGGUUUAUAAAAAUUCUGAUUUUUUAAAUUACCAUUUUGCCCCUCGUGAUAUUUUACUCGUAUUUUCUUCGUUAAAGCUCCGAUUUGAGCUCACUUCGUGUCUAUGAACUCGUGUCGUCGUGCUCUACGCAACGGCAUAUGUGGAAUUGUCAAAUUCCUUUUGGGUCAAAAAGUCAACUUUUUCUUAAUAAAAUAUUCGAAGGGCAAAAUCGUCUUUCUACAAAAUAAAUUAUUGAUUAAAUAUGAAUUUUAGGUUUGGGUCAUUACAUAAAUAGUGGUGGCUUUUGAUCCUUUUGUGGUUUAAUCAAAGCCCUACAGUUGAUAGGAUGCUUUAGCUUUGCCUUUUCUGCCACUACCACCUCUAUUUCUUCUGAAAUUUCUUGGCCUUCUUCUUAUUCCACUUCAACCAAAUGGACUGAGGAAGAUGGUGUCUUGUAGUACGUGUCUUUGAAAGAAUUUCUCUUCUGCUACUCUUCCUUUAGCAGUUCUUCAUAUUUGGAGGCCUUAUCUGCCAAUUCUACCAAGUCUCUAAAAACCAUUCCAUCGAAUCUCUUUCUUGGAGAAAUGUGGAGGGCAGUCUGGGCCAUCUGGAUGAAAUGCCUUUCUUCCAUGGGGAUUCUGCACUUCAUUUUGAGCUUCCUAAACCUGGUGAUGAAGUCCUGGGCAGGUUCAUCUUUACUUUGCUUAAGAGCAGCAAGGUCACUAAUGGUUACUUCUAGCUGAAUUCUGAAAUAGUACUCGUGGAAAGCAUUCCCCAUCUACUCCCAUGUCUGGACGGAAUUAGCUGACAAAUUAGUAUACCAGGUAAAAGCUUGUCCGGACAAGGAAUUCCCAAAAGCCUAAGCUUCAAUAGGGGAUUAUUCUCUAUAGCUAUGCACUGGAUAGAAAAUCUAUCUAUAUGUUCUACUGACGACGCGUAAGCGUCCUCUUCAUUGAACAGAGUGAAUUUGGUACUUUGAAACUAGGGGGUAGAGGUAUCUGAUCAAUGUAAGUAGGAUAUGGCUUCUUGUAAGUGGGCCUUUCAUCUCUUCUGGCCUCAGGAUAUAUCAUCUCUCUAAUUAUUUUUUGUAGUGCCCCUAUGUCAUUCAAAGCGUUAAUAUAGGGUAAGUUUCGUCUCUUUUCUAGCUGAUUAUGUUCAGCCCUCUAUUCCAUUCUGUAUGGUCUGGCUAUGACCUCUUCCUUAUGUUCUUUUUCUUCGAAAUCUGGAUGAUUUCUCCAGUUUGCCCCUAUUAUAUUUCUGUCAUUGUUGGCAAAAGGGUUAAUUUCCCCCCUUUGCCUCUUCUCCCUCUUGAUAGUGGGGGAAGUGGAUUGGGAUGACAAAGGCUCUGAUUCUCUGUUCAAGCAUAUAUGCCACUGGUCGGCCAUGUGGGACUUCUGGCCGUGGAAUAGGUGGAAGUUCUGACUGGUUCUGAGGAACCUGUACUACUACUGGAAGAACUGGAGCUUCCUGUUCUUGGAUGACAAAGGCUUCUCCCUUUUGUCCAACCUGGAUCUUUGUCGGUCCAGACACUCCAACUAUUUGUUCAAUAAGGGGAUUUUCCUGGUAUGACCAUGCUAAUCCUGGUGGAGGUCCGAAAGGGAGUUCUAGCUGCUAGAUUAUAGCGUCUGGGUUUGGAAUCCUCGCAAUAGCAGCCUUACGAUCCUUUCUGAAUUGCAUGUUGACUUGCCAUUGCAUCAUGGCUGUCAUGUUGUUCAGAGUGUCCUGGCUUCUUAUCGGAGCACAAGCACCUGUAUCUGGUUUAUCCUUUGAGAGCCUGACUGGGAACGUCUACUCCUGGUACGGCCAUAAAUUGAUUGCCUAGCAUCACUCUCUUCUGACUCAUGCCCUCCGUCCUGGAAGUCUGGUUGAUCUCUUUCCGAGGCAAAGCGUGGGCUUUGGUUAGAACUUCCAAUAUUUAUAUGCUGGAAAGAAGUCUAUAUUAAGAGGUCCACCUGGGUGUGCCAAAUUGUUCACCCGUUUUGAUUUAGCCCUAUGAUGGUAAGGUAAAGCUCCCCACUAACUUGAAAACCAUUGGUGGUCCACAAGUCAACUUUCUUUGGUGUGCGAGCGUGCCACUGUUAGCAGUUAAAAACCCUAAUAGGCUUAUGAAAGAUAGAUAACUUUGCCCCAAGUUACUGACUUUAAACAAGUGAUUGUGAAUUUGGGUGAGGAAUAUCUCCCAAGUAAGUUCUUUUCUUGCCUCAAACUGGUGAGGACUUCACAAUUUCUCAUAGUAAACUAGUAAACGAGGUCGUAUCUUGUUACUUGUAUAUAAUUCAUUCACAUCUGAAGAAUAUUGAGCAUUGGAAUUUUUAGUUCUAUUUUGGAAUUCCCCAGGAUUCAUGUUACUUAUUGUUGUCUUCUUUAGGUAUGAAUCCUAUAGAUUUUUUUUAAAAUUCUGUCAGUGAUUUGAACUACUUUAUUUUGCCCCUAAAUUUAAAAAUUUCUGAAUUCAUCACUGGUUACAGUAAUAAUAAAUAAAUAUGGACUCGCCACUCCACCAACCUGUUUUGGACAAUAAACAACUAAUUAACCAUGAUGUCCUCCUUUUUCCUUCUCAAAUGCACCGACCUUUCCAAAUUAUCUACCACCAUUACUUUAUGCCAGCCAUUAUUACCAAGGCCGGUCUUGAGAUUUUGAAGGCUCCGUGCGAACCUUAAAUUUGGGCCUCACAUAAGCUAACACAAACUUACACCAUUACGUAAUGCCAUACAAUAAAUGUUUUUUUUCUUAAAGUGACCAAAGUACCCAUACUCACAAGGACAAAAUUGAAAUUUCACAAAACAAUUAAAUUGGAUUAGAUUGAUUAAAUUAGGUCAGGGAUGUUAUACCUUUUGAAUAAUCACCAUGAUUAUGACGAUGAGUCUUUGUCAUCAUAGAUCAUAUUCAGAUAUUAAAUAUUUUUUAACACCAAUGUAUUUUGUAUUUUGGUUGAGUUAGUUGGAUGCAUAAAUAUUCUAGGAACAUCAUUAAUUCAAUGCAAUUAUUUUGGUUGAGUUAGUUGGAUGCAUUAUUUUUUCCAAAAUUGAAUAUCUAAGCAUAGGCUUUAGGGUAUUUAUUAUUUCAGUUUGUGGUUGUGAAAGUAGCUGGGAUAUUGAAUGUUGGUGUUGACAUUAGACAAGCCUUUAACACAAGUGGGUUUUGAAGUCGCGCCCAGAAUAAAAGUUGAGGCUCUGCAAACUAACACAACUAGGAACGUCUUUGUGUCAACAAUUUGCUCACUCGAUAUAUAUAUAUAACAUUUGUUAAACAUAUAUUAUACAUAUAAAAAAAAUCGGGUCCCUGUGCGGUGGCACCACUUGCACACCCUCAGAGCCACCCCUGAUCAUUACAUUCGAACCCACUCCAACAUUAUGAUUUAAGAAUUAACAUUAAAUAAUUAUAUUUGACUUCAUCAUAUUUUCUAAUUAUAAUAUAGUAAUUACUCCUUUCGUGAUAACCACUCUUCUAAGAUAUACGAAUUCCUAUCAGUUUUAUUUGGCUGCUUAUGUGUAAGAGCAUCUCAUGUUUAUAUAUUAAAAGACAAGACUCGUGAUGCUAGGAAAAAUGAGUUGAACUACUACCCCAAUAUAUAAUGACUAUCAUGAGGAUUAGGUAACGUGGUUAGCUAAUAUGAUUAGAAAAUAUGAUUUAUCUAAUCACUUCUUAUAAGGUUUUUCUGUGUAGGGAAGGUUGGAUUUUAUUUUAUUUUUUAUCAAAGUCGAAAGAUAACUUUAUUAAAAGUGGAUGGAAACGUGAAUUGAAUUGUUAGACGUUGAUUUCUCUUCUUUAGACAAUUAAUAAAUUUGGUCGUAGUGCCCUUCUGGAAAGCUUGUGGAUAACUUGAUUUACUACAAAAACACCUGCUCCAUCAUUGAUCUUAAAUCAUUACAUAUAGAGUGCUAAUGGAGUUCUUGUGGAGGCUGGGUAGGUUUUUUUAAAAUAUUUUAUUUUUAUAAAUAAAAUUUUUAAUUAUUUCAUUUGUAAAUAUGUAAUAAGUUUUUAAAUUUAUUUAAAUAGGAUGUAUUAUAGGUAUUUCUGGUAAUUAAAUAUGGUGAAAUAGAACGAGUUGUAAAAAUAACAACACUCUCAUUUAUAUAUAUUUUUUGAAAAAUCACCGACUUAUCUUAUUGCUAAUGUAAAUUGUAAUUGACUUAUUGAGGGAGCACUCCCAUUGGUCAUGCUUAGAGCUCCACUCACAUGAAAUCUUGUUGUUGGUUUUUUUUUUUUUUUUUUUUUAAAUUUUUUUAGUAAAGAUGAACUUUCAUUAAUAAAGACCAAAAAGAGAUCAAAGAACCACCGAGACUACACAACCAGUCAAACGGCAUUAACAAGAAAAAGAAACCAAAGCUACAAGAGAGUAAAAUAAAAGAGGAAAACACAGCACAGCCAACGAACAGCAUCACAUAUUUUGUUACUUGGUAACUGGUUCAGGUUGUGGGCUUCAAGGAAAUUGAUCUUAUAAUAUUCAAGAGUAGGCAAGGGGAUUCCAACAAAAAAAGAGACAAGGCAAGCGGAUUCCCCUCCAAACAAACCAAAAAAGAGUAGGCAAGUGGAGCAUCUGGAAUUUGAUCUGAAAAAUUCGCGGACAAUUCUUAUCAGAAAGACUUUUAUGAAAUGAAAGUAGUAUUAUUUUAUUCUCGUGAUCAUUGUGACAUGCGUAAACAUAUUUUCAGUAUUAUUGGUUAUGAAUAAAAUAAUUAACAAAAUAAUAUUAUUCCCCAUUGCAAGUUGCAACUGAUCCUAAUGGAAAGUAAUAGUUAAAGAAACGGAUUCCAUUCUACCUCAAAUCAUUGGAAAUUCGUAUCGAUUUGAGAUUUAAAAAUAAUUUUUUACUUAUUAAUAUAGCUGUCAACAUUUAAUUAGUUGAGUGGGAUCCAUUAGGGACCGGUAUCAUAGAAGAUUGUCUCACACCCCUAAUUUGGUACUAUUUAUGGGAGCUUGAUAACUGUUAUCACUUCCGCUAGAGCAAAAUAGAUAUACAUCUUUUCUUCUUGGCUUUGGGGUAUACAGAUAGAGACAUAAAUUUCUAUUGAAAAGUUGGGUUUAAUUCUCAGAUUUCUAUUUAACCGUUUGUGAUUCAAACCUGUUGUAUAGGUAUAGUUGGAUAUUCUACAUGUCCUAUAGACUUAGGUUGGUUCAUAAUCUUUUUCACUACAACAGCAAGUAAUCUUGAAAAAUAAACCUUAUAAGCCUAAGGUACAGGUACAUCAACCAAUACUAAUAAACGGGAAGAAAAAACGCAAUCAAAUUUUACCUACAAACAACAAAUAUGAAAAAUAAACCUUUCCUUACAUACCUUCACUGUAGCUAUAUGCCAAGUCAACUAUUUUCCUCCCCAUAUUCAACACUCAAACUACCUCUCCAUUAGAGACACAUGAACCUAAUGAAAAAAAAUAGAUAAGUUGAAUACUUCAUAGCAAAUCUAACUGUGACACAAGUAAUUCAAUCCUAAUUUGGAAUUUGUGAAAAUCUUCAUUAAGGAAGUCAAAAAUCAGCAGAGAUUGGGAUAGAAUGACCAUGAUUGUAGGAGACAAGCAGCUUGUUGGGAGGGGUCGGCUUUAUUUGCCUUUUCUAUUUAAUGGCACUAGAAGUAAAUAUCUUAAUAAGGAUGGACAAAGGCAUUGCUUACGUGUCCAUUGGAUUGUUUGGUGGACUGCUAUUGAGGAGCCAAAAUUGAUGUACUUCAUCCAUUGUAUCUUAAUAAAAAUGGAUCUAUAUCUAAGAACCCCUAAAGAUUAUUAAUAAAAAUACACUUACUAAAAAAAAAUGAAAGAAAGAGAGGAGCUCGAUGAGGAGGAAGACGAGAGAGGCUCUAAAUUCUUCAACAAGAAGAGAAGUUUCUUUUAUGAAGUUGAAAGCAUUGCUCAAGAUGUAAUUGAGAGCUUGUGAAUAUAGUAUUUUGUAUAGGAUGUUGAAGGAUUAAGUGUGUAAUUGGUGGAUUUUGGGCUCUAGAUGGCUAUUGUUGAACUCCAUGGAUAUGUUAGUGUACUGCUUUUAAAUUUUUCAGGACCCUAAAUGGAACAAUUUCCAGCAAUUUAUAGAUUUGUUGUAUUGUAGCUAUUAAGUAAUUCGGGUGAACAUCCAAUUAAAAACCAAUUAAUGAUGAGUGAACAGCGUGCAUAUGUUAGCUGUUAAUUUGUUUUUUCUUUUGUUGGCAUUACCUGUUCAACCAAUAUUAUAUGUGGAGUAAUCGAUUCGAGUAACUUAUUAUAUGUUAGAAAAUGGACUUACCCAUCACAGCACAUGGAGUACACAUCCUCACAUGCAUGGGAGAAUGCCCAACAAUUGUUUAAUCAACGAUUGUCCCAACCAUGCUCAUGCAUAACAUCGAUUUCUAAUUAUUAAUUGAUAAUGUCUCUCUCUCUCUCGAGGGCCGAGAACUCGGGGAUUCCUUUUAGAACUUUUUUUAUUUAUUUUUUAUUUUUUAUGAAGUAAUUCCUUUGAGAACUUGUGACCGACAAAAUGAUGAAAAGAGAUGGAAUCUACUUUUUCGAGUUUUCAGAGCAAUAAUAGAACCAUAGCAAGAUCUCUCUCUUCUAGUACAUCUGAGCUGAGCCCCAACCCACCACCACACAAUCGAAUCUUAUCUUCUCACAUGUAUUUUGAUUUUUAAAUUUUGUGUUUCAUCCGGUUGAUUGCUCUUCUAGAACCAUAGCAAGAUCUCUCUCUUCUAGAACUAAUUAUAGAUGUGUAUGUUUUGAUUAAGCUAGUAUAUACCAAAAUAAGGCCAUAAUGGCGUCAGUUACAGCAGACCUCUUCAUUGGCAAAUUUGUAGCAAUUCUCGAGAGUGAAGCAGCCUCCAUAGCCGGUGUUGAUGAUCAAGUUGAUGAGAUUAAGCUGGAGCUGGAAUUCAUGAAAGCCUUCUUAGCGGUUGCUGACGGGGGCAACAAAGCACACACACAAGUAGAGGAAGUGUGGAUCACAAGCAUGAUUUCUAAGCAAUAACUUCUGAUCAUCUCUUUCUUCUAGCAAUAAUAAAUAUAUCAUUUAUUGCCUUACCCACCACCACACAAUCGAAUCUUAUCUUCUCAUGUAUUUUGAUUUUUAAAUUUUGUGUUACAUCCGGUUUAUUGCUCCCCAGAAUCAAUUCUAGAUGUGUUGUUUUGAUUAAGCUAGUAUAUACCAAAAUAAGGCCAUUAUGACGUCUGCUGCAACAGACCUCUUCAUUGGAAAAUUUGUAGCCAUUCUAGAGAGUGAAGCAGCCUCCAUAGCGGGUGUUCGUGAUCAAGUUGAUGAGAUUAAGCAGGAGCUGGUAUUCAUGAAAUCCUUCUUAGAGGAUGCUGACGGUGGAGAGCAGGCACACACACAAGUAGAGAAAGCGUGGGUCGCAAGCGUUCGAGACUUGGCCAAUGAUGUUGAAAACACCAUUGAUGAGUUCAUGUAUCGCGUGUAUGAGCAACGAAAUGGUGGUCGAUUUUCCAGGUGGUUCCACAAAACCAUUCACUUUCCAAAGCAUCUUUGGUAUAAGCGUCGAAUAGCCAACAAGUUACAGAAAAUCGCGGUGGCGAUUAGAGCUAUUCCAGAGAGAAAUCAGAGAUAUCAUGGUGCUGCAGCUGUAGAAGUAAAAAGUACUUCUGAGGAUACUCGAAGAUGGGUACGGAACCAAGCGGAGUCUUCUCUUUAUCAGAAGGAGGAUGAACUUGUCGGGAUUGAAGGCGAUAAGAACAUGUUACUGGGAUGGCUGAUGGAUGAAGCGAAGCACCAAAUUGUUGUGUCCGUGGUCGGGAUGGGAGGAUCAGGGAAGACAACUCUAGUUGCAAGAAUCUUCAAAGAUGACAUUGUAAAGAGAGAUUUCGAAUGCUAUGCAUGGAUUACUGUUUCCCAGUCUUAUGUGAUUGAAGACUUACUUAGAAGAUUGAUAAAAGAAUUCCACAAAGGAAAGAGGGAAGAGGUCCCUGCAGACAUAAAUGCCAUGAGUUAUAACGAAUUGCUGGAGAUUUUGGUGAACUACUUGGAGACUAAAAGGUACCUAAUUGUAUUGGAUGACGUGUGGGAUGUCCACCUUUGGGACAAAAUAAGGUUUUCAUUUCCAGAUAAACAACUUGGAAGUCGAGUCAUGCUUACAACUCGAAGAGAAGACAUAGCAUCCUCUUCUUUUGGAGUUGAAAGCCAUGUUCACAAGAUUCAACCGUUGGAAAGGGGUGAUGCGUGGGAGCUUUUCAGCAUGAAAGCAUUCUCGAGUUAUCAGAACAAAUCUUGUUCACCUGAACUUUUGCCUUUAGCUCGGGAACUUGUGGAAAAGUGUGAAGGUCUACCACUCGCGAUCGUAGCCUUAAGUGGUCUCAUGUCUUCUAAGAAGUCACUUAAAGAGUGGAGCACAGUCUACAACAGCUUAAAUUGGCAUCUAACAAACAAUUCUUUGUUAGAACCUAUGAAGAUGCGCAUCUUGUUGUUUAGUUUUAAUGAUUUGCCAUACCGAUUGAAGCAAUGCUUUCUCUCUUGUUCACUUUUCCCUGAAGAUCAUGUGAUCGUAAAUAAUAGGCUCAUCACAUUGUGGAUCGCUGAAGGAUUUGUUGAACAUGUCGAAGGGCUCACGCCAGAAGAAGUUGCAAAUAGCUAUCUUAUGGAACUCAUUUUUCGUAACAUGCUACAGCAAAGGUUUCUAGGAUCCCUCCCAGCAUGUAAGAUGCAUGAUCUUUUGAGGGAGAUUGCUCUGUCUAUAGCAAAAGAAGAAAAGUUUUGCGUUGUACAUGAUGGGGGUGAAAUAGUAGAAGAAACUGGGGCACUCCGUUUGUCAAUUCAAACAACUAAUGGAGAAAUUAGAUCAUGCACAGGUAUAUCACGGUUUCGUUCGUUUCUUGUCUUUGCCACUAGCGUAUCCUCAUUCUCUUUCCCAAAUAAAUUACCUUUUGACCUUAAAUUGUUGAAGGUUCUGGAUUUGGAGGAUGUCCCAAUUGAUAAUCUACCAGACAAUCUAACGUCCUUAUUCAAUUUAAAAUAUUUAAAUUUGAGUGGAACUCCAAUUACUGAGCUUCCAGAAUCCAUUGGACAGCUCCGCAACCUUCAGACCUUGAACAUCAAUCUGACAAAAAUAGAGGCACUUCCAAGAGGGAUUUCCAAGUUGCUAAACUUACGCCAUUUACUUGUGAGCAGGUCCAUUUAUGGAAAGGCAAUUGGGGUAAGAAUACCAUCAAGUAUUAGUAAGAUGAAGAAAUUGCAAACUUUGGCAUAUAUUGAAUCAGAAGGAAAUAUUAUUAGACUUAUUGGAAGUAUGACCCAACUUACGUUCCUUGGCAUUACAAAUGUGAAAGAAAGAGACGAGGAGGACCUUUGUGCCUCAAUUCAAGAGAUGAAGGUCCUUUCCCGCUUGUUUUUAUCUGUAGCUGAUGGAGAGGAAUUUCUUCGAGUUGACGCAUUGUCUUCACGGACUCCCUACCUUGAUAGACUUGAAUUGGUCGGCAAACUGGAAAAGGUACCACAUUGGUUUUGUUCACUCCACUCUCUCGCAUCUUUGAAUCUGUCUGGGUCCAGACUUGAAG
Molecule: long non-coding RNA, 53310 nt
Filed under: Prunus persica (peach)
Lineage: Eukaryota; Viridiplantae; Streptophyta; Magnoliopsida; Rosales; Rosaceae
Description: long non-coding RNA (PPER_LNC006468)
Source: RNAcentral